UUUUGUUUUUCUUAAUUCAUAUCUCAAUUUAACAUAUAAUAUUAUAUGUGAAUAAACAAAACCCAUUCUAACGAAAGAUAUAUUCGGAAACCCCAUAUAAAAUUAAAUUGACGAAUGCAUAUAAAUCAAUCACAAGGCAUGUUAUGUUUUUUUUUUUUUCUUUUUGUUGUUUACAAAAUACAUAUUGAUCAUUUUGUUGAAUAACAUUAGUUUGGUAUUUCCGAAAAAUUAGGUGGAGAAGACCUUACCCUCUGUCUAUUCGAUCGAACAAAAGAAAAAAAAGUUGUGGAUGGUAAGUAAUCAUUUUUAAGGAAUUUUAGAUACUUCUUUUAAAUACUUGUUUAUGGCAAAAGUAAAGGAAUAGUAAAUUAAAUAGUACUCACUCACUCAUCAUUAGACAUUAGAUAACUGUCCAAUGUCUUAUCUUUAAUAAACUUAUGUACGUAUAUAUGCAUCAAACUAGUUAGACCUAACAGUUUGAUCAAGAUCGUGCCAUCUCUUAAGUGUUUUUUGAUGAUAGGAAAAUGACACAAAUCACAUAUAUGCGUAUAUGCGUGUGCAUAUAUAGACUGGAAUGAUCACACGAAACAGACAAGCAAUCUGAGUUUUGGAUGAAUACUAAUUACUUGCUGCUAUUCGUAAUCAUUGUAAUGAUUUGCUAAAAAUCGAGUUAUGCUAUUUUAACUAAUUAAAAAAGAAGCAACCUGUAUUACACAAUAUUCUAAGGUACUCUAUAAUAAUACUUUUAAGGAAUACAUAUAUUUUUUUGUGUUAAGUGAUUUAAAAAGUAUUAGUGAAAAGGUUAGGAGCUUAAUUAUUUAAGUGAAAUUGUAGAUUAGAUGAAUGAGAAACGAAGCUAGAGUCCAAAACUAAAGUAGAGACAAGCCAGUUGGGAUGGUGUUGUUCUAUCUAAGUGCGCGACAAUUGUGCAACUAAUCUACUUUAAUAUUUUCGAAUUCAUAUUAAUUUAUUAAUACGCAUUUUAUACUUCGUAAUUAUUAUUUUUGUCAACUUAUACUUCGUAUUUCUUAAUGUAGUCUGACUAUAUAAAUGGUUAGCGUAGUAGUUGUGGUUUUUAUUGUUUUGACCUGAUCCAUUUAUGGAUUUGGAAAUGUUUCAAAAUAUUGUUACAUCUUUUUCGAAAAUGGGUUUAGGUUUGGAUAUGUUUUUUUCUUUCUAAAGUAAGAUUUUUAAGGUUCGGUUAUCCCCAAAAAAAGUAAGAUUUUAAGGUUACAUAAGAACUAAGCAUGUCUUAAUCAUACCACUCAAUUAAAGGAUCUAAGAUGAUUUUACUAACCACCCCCAAUUACAACUAAAUCAACUUGGAUUUUCACGCCUGUGGCUUUCAUGAUACCAUCACAUCACUCUAUAUUCAAAUUUUAUAUCUUUCUAACUGUAAGUAAAUAGAAAAUACUCGAAAGAGUUGAGUUGAUGAUAUUUGAACCAUAGUUUCAAUUAGUCUCAAGUGAUUCAACUAUAACAUAAUAUCGUACAAUAUUUUUCUUCAAAGAUGAAAACAAAAAUUGUAGAAGGAAAAACAUUUUAAAAAAGGCCACAAAAAUUGGAGUAAACUAUCUCCAGCGUUUCAGUAUAGCACUCAACAGCACAAGGAGGCUUGCAUACCAAGCAACAAAUCUUGCUUCUUACUUUGAACUUUUGUACUCUUAUGCUUUGGUCUUCUUCUUUUUCUUCUUCUUCGUGGGCUCUGAUGUUGCUUUUCUUUCAGACUUUGUAUCAUCCUUCUCGUCUUGGUCUAUCAAAUGCUCGUAUUCUUCAAGACUUGCAAAUGGAGAUUUCCGUUUUCUUUUCUCUUGCUUUUUCUUCUUACCACGACCACCAUCACCAUCAAUAUCAUCAUCAUCACCACCAUCAUCCUCAUCAUCAUCAUUAUCAUUAUCAUUAUCAUCGUCUUCAACAUCUUCACCAUCAAGCAUGUCCAUGUCCAUGUCUGUGUCCAUCUCUGCAUCACUCACAUCAGCCACAAGCUCUUCCUCAUCGUCUCCUGCUACUCUAUCGAGAUCAUCAUAAUCAUACUCACUGCCCUCUUCUUCCACAGCAUUAUCAUCAACAUCAUCCAACAAAUUCUCAAUCUCCUCAUUGUCACUCUCAUCACCACCGUCAAGAUCAUCAUCACUACCGUAGUUUUCUCCACCAUCACCAUCAUUCACAUCGUAAAGUUCUUCAGCUUCUUCUUCUUCAGGUAGCUUCUUCUUCUUCUUUUUCUUUGACUGCUUCGUACUAUUCAUCUUGUUCACAUAGAACUUGUGGAAGACUAGAUCUUCAGGAGCCACGUCUCCUUCUGCUAACGCGAGAAUCUCAGAUCCAAUCACACGGUUUGACAUGUCAAGCUGCACAAGCGAAGAAAGAGAAGAAGAAAUAAACUGUUACAGGUAAAAGUAGAUAACAAAAUGGUUUAAAGCACUAGUUGUUGAGCUUUUUACCUUCUUGGAAGGUUCAAUCUGGGAGCCACCAUGCCAAGUGCUUUGCUUUGGUUUCUUCUCCAUGAAUUUAUCCAAGAAAGCAGUUAAAGAUAAGUCGUUCAACGGGUUUCCGUUGUAAACAAUAUGUGUUCCUGAGAGAAGGGUUCCAGCCAUUGUAGCUACCGAGGGGUGAGCAUGUUUUGAAAGAACCACCAACUCCCACCAACUCGCACGGUCUGCGUUACUGUUAAUUGGAGAUCAAGGAUUUAGUUUCAACCAAGAACGCUUAAACAUAUUAUCAUUGUUCCAAGCAAAGCUUAUCAGAUUUAUUUAGAAAAAAAGCAGUAUAAUUUAGAGAUUAACUGACCAGUAAGAAGGUUCUCUAUGACGAGGAUCAUAUCCUCCAGGAAGACAAAUCGAUUUGAUUGGUGGUUGGCUUCUUUUUUCUAUAUCAUUAGAAACUUCUACAGUUUCUUGACGCUCAUGGGGAGUUUCCUUUAUAAACAGCUCUUCAGAAUCAUCAGAAGCAUAGUCAUCUUCUUCAUCAGAUUGCCUGCCUGCCAAGGCCUCUUCGUCAUCUGAAGAAGAAUCACCAUCUUUACCUGUAACUUCGCCACCAUCAUUAUCAACUUCAACAUUGCUCUUGUUCUUCUCUGCUUCAUUAUUGGGAUCAAUAUCAUCUCCCUCUAUCACAUCCUCAAAAUGUUCUACAUCAUCUUCUUCAUCAACUGAUUCCCUCUGAACCACCAUCUUCCUGCAAGGUAAAUAGACGAACCAUUCUAUCACCAGAUAAAAGCCAUGGAUAUAUGGUUAACAAAAUAAAAAAAAAGCUUACCAUAGAGGUGGUCUCGCUUUUAACACUUCAGACAAAAGGAAUAGGUAUGCACAGGCAUACUGUGGUGGCUGCUGAAGCGCUACCUACUCAAAUAUUUAAGAGUAAACAUUAGAGAUAACAAACAGAAAAAACUCGUACCCAGAGAAUGUCAACACCAAUAAUUCAUAUAACAAAAUAAUCAAGAUUCCUGUAUAGGAUGAAUGAUAUGAAUUUUGUUGUCAUUGUCAAUGAAACCAGAGCUACCAACGAUGGGGUUGAUAAAUUAUUUAAUUCAUGUUACCAACCUGCACGAGUCUUUUGGCGAAGGCAGCCACACGCUUCACAUUUAUAUCAUUUUUCAUGGCUCUGAGAAGAAGCCCAAUCAACAUUUCAGCCUGAAAAUUAGGAAUGCCAGAUUAUUAAUCAGGGUUAUGAAGAAAAGCCUGUGCAUCCCAGGGGAAGUACAUCAGUAUUUUUAUCACAAGAUAAAAUGGUUUUCACACAAUUAAAUAUGUACGAAAUGUGCAUACGCCAACACUCUGCAACCAAUUUCGGGCUAUACCAAAUUGUAAGGGUGAUUAUCCAUUCACAAACAAAGAAUAAUAUGACGUGAUGUAAACACAGAAAAACAGAAGCUUCAAAAUUUAGCUUGCCUUAGAAGAGUUCAUUGCAGAGGGAAGGAGAAGUUUCGAGUACAAUGCACGGUAAAACCUGUCACUGACAAUCUUAUUCUUGGAUGAGAUCUUGUCAAGAAGCAUCAGUGAUUGAACUCCCACAUUGAAAUUCUUUGAGUGUACCUAGAUGAAUUCAAGAUCCCAUUUUCUUUAUUAAUUUUCUGUUGCAACUAAUGAAACAAAACUUAUACGCUGAAUCAUUAGGAAUUACCAGUUUAAAAAGCACCGGCGUCUGGGAUUCAAUAAUAUCAUCGGCUGCGUCAGCGGAAACAUAUGGAAAAGCUCUGUUAACUCCCUGCAAUAACGGGAUAAGGUAUAAGUUCUGUAAAGUCUCGAUGCUAUAAUAUCAUGUAUACAAAAAUAAAAACAUCCGGACUAACAGUUAGUAAAGCUGAUAAAAUUCUGGAAUCCAAUUCAACAGGUGAAUCAGAUGGUGACUCUUGUUUUGCGUCCUUUGGGUUGGCAUUUUUCUUAUCAGCAACUCCUUUAUCAUCUGCGCCUUGUUUCCUAGUUGCUUCAGUGGUUAAAACCUACAAAAAUGCAAACAUACUCCUGUAUCUCAGAUUUGAGUAUCCAACGGGUGAAAUAUUUUAUGUUAAUGACACCCCAAAAGAAAACAUUUAGGGGAGAGGUCUCCGAGAUCAUGAGAACGGAAGUUGGAGAUGGAGAGGCAAAAAAAAUUAAGAUCACAAGAAAAUGUUUGAUCUUUCACUUAUUUAGAAGUUAAAUGCCAGUUAUAUUACCUUAAAUAGAGCAAAAUAUACAUCAAUUAGGCGUUUUGCCACCUUUGGAUCAUCUCCUUUGUGGCUUAAUCGAAUUUGACUUAAAAAGUUAACCUGUGAAAUUUACAUGGAUUAAUAAGCAUGGUUUAAGAAAAGCUAAAAGCUAAGUUAUAAUACCCUUCUUUUGUAACGUCUCAGUUAAAUAGUUUCCCAUUCAGGUCUAAAGAAGCCAAACAUUACACUUUAGAUGGUGAUAACCAUGAGAUGAACAAGAAAACGUAGAAAAACGGUUAUCGUGAAUCUAAUUAGAAUAGGAUAAUGGAAACGUAUCUUGUGCUGAAAAUAUAAACAGUAAAUAAAGGACAUACCCCAUGAUAUUUUGCACGUAAUCCAAGAUGAGGUCGAAAGAGAAAGGAGUCAACUUCAUCAAUCACCACAGCCUGCAAAGAUAAGUAUACAGGUAAGCCAAAGAGAAGAGGCCAAAAGAACAAGCAAUCAAAUCCUCAAACUAGGCAUAGAAAGGUUGAAUAGCCGCACCUUCAUAUUAGGAUGAUCAGCCAAAAGAUUUGUCAGGUGAUAAUCAGCAUUAGAUGCACUCUUGUUUUGGGGAUCCCCCAACUGUGUAAAGUAAUCCACAGAACAAUUUAAGAAAUCACAGCUGAGAAAAUUUAAUUCAAUAUAAAUAUUUGAAAGAACAAUUGACAAUACCUUGUUCACCAAUGACACUAGCAAUUUCCGCUCUUGUUCUGAUUUGCUUGUCAGCAUGAAAUAUAUAGUCUGAAACCAAACCAAACCAAUAUUAUUUACUUAAAAAAAAAAUCUAGAUCACGUACCAAGCAAAAAAACUCACUGUCGCCAUAAGAAAACCAAGCUACAUGCAAUUAUGCAUCAUCCAGAGAAGGAUUACAUGAUAAUACUCAAAUGUCUAAUUUGAUAGCUCAUCAAGAAUCUAACAAACCCUGGAGACUAGUGCUACUAAAGAAGCUAGGGCCUGCAGAGUGGUGAUAGGAUAUACCUUUAAAGCCUUGUCUUUAAGCUCUGGGAGCAUAUCUUUAGAUGAUUCAUCAAGAGCGUUGACAAAUCGCUCAUACCUACAAAAUCAGCAUAAUAAGCCUGUUAACUGAAACACCAAUCCAGAACUAUUACCAAUAGAAGAUACAGAUCUUGGAAAAACGAUAAACACAUCCCUCGUGGUAUGAUUUAAGCUAAAUAUAUUUUGAAAGCUUUUGGGAUGUAUAUGCUCUCUGGUAAUGUUCUAUUUUCUCCUUUUUCUAGUGAGGCCAUCAAAGGAAGCCUAAGAGAGCAACUUGAUGGAGUAACUACGACUAGAAGCAAAAUGAUAGGUUUUCUUUACCUCUGUUUCAAGCAGUCCUCCCAGUACCAAAAUAGCAAAAGCGAGUAACCAUCCUUAUUUUCCGGAAUGCUGUUUAAGGGUCGUUGUAAAAGUGUCUUCAACUUGCGAUCAGGUAAUAACCUGGAAACAAAAAAAGAGCUCAAUUAAUGAGAAAAAAAAUGCAAGACUCAUACGAAUUUGAACACAUUAAUUUUAUAGCACAGUACAAGAGUAAGAAAUAUGUGCCUGAUCAAAAUUUCUGAUAGAGCCUUAAGACCCUUAAAUGCAAAUCUUUUUCCAACCUUUGAGGUCACCAUUCCUGCAAUGAACAUAGUAGAUAACAUGAACAAAAAGCUACAGAGGAUUUCACCAUUCGGAAACAAAUAGAAACUAAAUUAACCUAUAAAAAUACUCGUUCCAUUGAAUAGAAAGAUCACAUUUUUCUUGGAAACGAGAAACAUACCCAAUAAGGCAUCAAGAGACCUCAUAUUAGCAAUAGGAUUCUCUCCAACCAUGAUCUCAAAGGCAGUGAUUUUAUCAGCUACUGUCCCUGACUUUUGAGCAGAAAUCACCAUCUUCAUAUCUCCACCCUUUCCUUUGGAAGUUACAAAGUCCUCUGCGUAUUGCCACAUCAACCUCUCUCCUAAUUCUCUCUUCUUCUCCACCAAACCCUUCAAAUCCUCCUUAUUCGCCACUUUCCGGCCACCAAAGACCUUCUCCUCCAGCUCCGCCGCAUCGUUGUACCAAUCCGAGCUCAAUAAACUCGCUUUCACCAAAGGUAACUUAGGCAAACCCUUGAAUUGAUCGAAACGUUUCGCCUUAACUCCAUUACUAUCAUCCUCAAUCGAUAAAAAUCCAGGCUUUGGCUUCGGCUGUAUGGUUUGUUUCACCGGCGCAUCUUUGUUUGGCCUCUUCGCUUCGAAAUCCUUGCCCUUUUCAUUUCCAGCGUUCGAUUUAGGCUUCCUUGUGUCUUCUCCUUCUUCAACCUUCUGAUCAGAAUCGACAUUCUUAGGUUUUCUCUUUCUCUGCUUUUUGGGUUUUAGAGGUUUUCUGAAAUCAGUGUCGUUGAAACCCGAAGAAGGAAGAGAUGAAGCUAAACCAAUAGACGAAGCGAACGAUGCGAUAUCAGAUGUGAGUAGGCUCAAGUCCUGCGAUGAUUUACUCAACGGCUUUGUCUUGGACAUUGUUGUUUUUCAAAGCAUACGAACUGAACAGAGUUCUGGGAGUUUGCAGAAAAUUAGGGUUUAUCUGCAAGGACGGAGACAAUUAGGUUUAAUUCCAAUCUCAAUCUGUGCUUUUGAGAUUAGACAGUGAGAGAAGAAAGAAACCUUCAAUGUGGGUUUUGGGGUUCUUCUUCUACAAAGCUUUUUGCUAGGGUUUUAGAAAACGGCACGAGAGAGCAGACACAGAGAAUGGCAGAAGUGUAAUUUAAUCAAUCAUACGGGGAUUAGACAAGGGCAAAACAGACUUAACAGCUAAAUCUAAUUGUCUCCGUGUUCUUUCAGGAACAAAAAAAAAACUAGCUUCGGAAGCCCAAUACAUGUGUUAUGUUCUAGACUUAUAAAAAAACAAAACAUUUUCCUUUUAACAUUUUGGAAAAAAUAUAUAUAUACUAGCAAAAAGAAGUUCAUAACUAGUGAGAUUCGAUCAUGUGAUUAUUAUUUUUUCCCAAUAGAAGGUUAUCAAAAUGACAGUUUUAAAGAAUUUAAUUCAUAUCUUGUAAAUAGGAAUAACAAGUACCAUCAAUUAUGUGGAAAUAUUAUUAGCUAAUCGAUACAUUAUAAAUCAUUCAGAUUGGUCCAAAAAAAAGUAUGGAAGAAUAGAAUAUAUAUAAAUAUAUAAAUAUAUAUUUGGCUAGAAAUCCUAAACAACUGAAACAACAAACAUGAAUUCGUGAGUUUUUUAUAUGUCCUAUAUCUUCAGCUCAACAUCUUUGGAAGACUGUCCUUCUUAAUAUCUUGCCCCAUAUGAUUAAAUUAAGUAUGGGCCUUGGGUUUUGGAGGGGUUGCAAAGUGUCCUGAGGAUUGCCCUGCCUUUGGCGAUGGACUGACCAUAUCCGGCUUGGGAGGAAGAUGCCCACCGUUUUGGUUCACUUGAUAUGGAGCUCUAGCCACAGCCCUGAAAUUCAUAACCCCAACAAAAAUCACUUGUCAGCACUUUCAUGAUUAGCUCAAGUUUCUCAUGUCUAAUUCCAAUGUGACCAACUUAUUAUAUUCGAUAUUAUGACCAAUAAUUCAUGUAAAGAUUGCAAGUUUAGUGUACAGUACCUGUCUUUUCGUUUAGCAAAGAAUCGAUGAAGAGAAGCUCUUCUUGCAAUGCGUUCCACGCCCUGAUGUUGCUGUCCUGUUUGUUGACCUUCAUUGUUCCCUGAACUAUUUGGCUCGUUCAGAUCAGGAAUGACCACAUUGCUUUUGCUGAUGCUAAUGUUCAUGUCAAGAUUCAUGUGGUCCUCAGUCUGAAUCUGAGUCUGAGUCUGAGUGUUCUUCGAAUCAACAUGAAUAGAUUUUUUCGCUACUUCGAUUAUCUCCUUUGCCUUGUCUUCAGGAAACUCGUUAAAAACCAUAACUUUUCCUCCGAAGAAUAUGGUCAACUGUGAAUUACCAGGCUCCGGUACUACUUUUUCCGGUUCACUGAAAUCAAAUCAAACCCCGUUUGUCCCAUUAGUCAAACUCCACACAUCUAUAACCGGUUUUAACCGCUACUCUUUUCUCUAAUUCAGUCGCUACAAAAUGUAAUUAAAAAAAAAAAUAUAUCUAUCAAAAUAUGAAAAAGCGAGUUUGAGCACAUAUAAAGUUUUAUAUGUAAGGUACCUGAGAUCAACAACAUCUAUGGCUUUGCAUCCAGAAGAAGUAGAGGCUUCACCAUCAGAAAGCUUCUGAAUCAACUCGAAAGAUCUGGUUUCUGCCUUCUUAAUUACAUCUUGUUGUCCUAAAACAAACCAAAAAGAUCACUAACCGAUCAAACUCUUAAGUUUCACCAAAGUUUAGUUCUUCUUUUUCACGUUUUCUUAUAAACCUUCCCAAAAUCUUUAACUAAACAGUAUAUAUAAAAGAAUCUAUCAUGCUCAAGAUUAGAGGGACAACUAAAAGAAAACAGUUGGUUUCAAUUAUUUGAUCUUAAGCUCUAGCAUAGGACCAAAAUCGUAUAACACGCAUAUUGAAUAAUCAACGAACCAGAGAUUCUAAAAAAUACAAUAAAAAUAUUGGUCUUUGUCGGCGGCGGCCGUUGAAGUAAAUUAAAAGGAGAUUAAAAAAUAUAUAUAUACCUUUGAGGUCGAAUUUUCCGGCGAGCUCAAGAUCGGAUAUUCGAGCCAACCCGAUAUUAAUAUUCCCAAAACUUCCCUUCUCCUUCAAGUACCGGCUGAGCAAACUACACCUCUGAGAAAAAUUGGAUUUCUCCGGCGCUUGUCCCGUCGACGACAUACUGAUGAUUAAUGAGUAUUACAAAAAAAAAAAAACACUCUAAAGAUUUUGCGUGUAGCUUACACGUAAAAAGAUCAAAGGAUUACAAAAAAAGUAUAAACGUCUUGAAGCUUUUUUUGCUGCUCAUGUGUAAGUUAUAUUUUAGCCAAUAGGUUUCUGUGGCUUUUAACCUCUCACGAAUAAAUAAAGAAAACAUAUAACGUGUUUUUUUUAUAUAUAUUCUAUUUUUUUUUUAUUAAAAAUCGUAUAAGUGACAGUGAUCGGGGUCCAAUAUAAAAAACGGUGUCACGAGGUUUUUUUUUUCCUUACACCUAACAUAUAUAUCCCAAGUAAUCUUAGAGUAACACAAUGUUAUGUAGAGAUUUACGAUGAUUCAAGUCCUCCAUAACGAUGGUUCAAUUCCUCCAUUACGAUGGUCGAUGGUUCAUGUUCAAGUCCUCCAUUAAAGAUGAGUUUUCUUUUAUAUCCUAAAUAAUAUAGAUGUAGCAAUGCACAGUGUUAUGUAGAGAUUUACGAUGGUUUAAGUCCCCAAUUUACGAUGGUGAGUACAAUAAUUAAUAUUAAUGAUAAAUAAAUAAAUAAAGUACAGGGCUAUUAAGUGCCUACAUGUCGUUAGAAAUAUGUCACGGAGUGAAUGAAAAGACAACAUAAGAAAGAGUAAUCCAAGAAUCUAACCAACGUUUUGUUACAAAGUUCGUGCACGUUUUCCUUGCGCAAGCCGUUGGAUAUGUUUGUUAAAAGAAGAAUAAAAGAAGAAACUAGAAAAAAAAAGGGUAAUAGAGUCGAAGGCGACGUUAUUGGAAGACAUUAAUCAAUUUUUUUUUUGGUUUGGGAAAGAAAGAAAAAUCGUCGGGGGACCGAGAGUUACUGCUGGCUAGUAAUUGCGGGAUUCGUACUCGUUUGUUUGGUGGUGGCACAUCCGUUAUUAGAGAGCGUAGUCGAGGGUGUUUUAAAGAACCAUAAGUCUAACGUAGUUGUAGUCUUGCGUCGGCUGAUGGCUAAAUAAAUAAUACGACUCUUCAACAAAUAAGUGGGGCAAACAGUAGAACUUGUGAAUGGAAUCAUCAUAAUGCAUGGAUGGAUGGGAGAAGAAUACUUAUCCCCGACAAAGUUUAUAGGACACGUGAAGUAUAGUUAUGUUACAUUUAGGAUGUCAACAUGUGUCGAAAUCUUAGCGGUACCAACCUUAAUACAUGCGUGAUUUGCGUUUUUCUCUCUUUCUCUUCUUUACUUAAAGGACAAGAUAUUGUUUACUUUUUGUGCUAAGUAUGUUGUUGUCUAUCUUUCUUUGGAAAUGUUUUGGUGACCUUUUUUAAAUUGAAAAAAAAAAACGAAAGAAUUUGUCAUACUUUGUAGUUCUUGUUUUUGUUCUUUCGGUUUGUAAUUGUUAUUUCUGAGAUUCUAUGAAUUUUUGGUUUUAUUUUGGGAGAGAUUUUGAUUUUUACCGUUUUACGUAUUUUCGUACUUGGAAUAUUAAUACCUUUUAUAUCUUUUAACCAAAAAAGAAGAAUUAAUAACUUUUUUGUUUUCGGUUUCUGUAUUUUUGGUUAGGGAUUAUUAUUUUUGAAAUUCUAUGAAUUCAUUAAUUUCGUUUUCGGAUAAAUUUUGAUAUUUGUUGGUGUUUUAAACUUUAAUAAAAUAAUAUUUUUUUGCAAAUGAUUUAUAUUUUCCUUUGUAUAAAAUACGUUUAAAAAAGUAAUCGAUGUCCCAUGAUGAAAUUUGUUUUGUGCUAAUAAAUUAUUAGAAAUACAAUGAUUAAUUCUUAACUUCUUUGUUUAGCAAAGGUCGAGGAGGGGGGUUGAAUAUUCUUUGAAUAAGAUUCAAUGCCAAAGAGACACCAAUAAAGAAUUUUUAAAACAAAUGUCGUAGACGAUGGCGCCAAGGGGUAAAACAUCAUUGUUGUUGUUUGAAUUAUUCAGCCCAACUUGCAAGACGAGUACAUAAUACUCUGAACUUUGUAGACUCUUCUUCCAUAUAUUAUCUUUCAACAGUUGAACAACAACUUGAGUCUAAUAUAUAUAUAUAUAUAUAUAUAUAUAUAUAUAUAUAUAUAUAUCUAUAUAUGGUUUUAUAUUUUUAGUUGUGCUUUUAUAAAAUCCAUUGUCAUCUCUCAACAAAAAAAAUAGAAAGAAAAAAAUCACAUGAAGAUUAUCUACAUUGUUUGAACUUUGAAGGUUUCGAUCACAUAUUUGAAUAUAUCCAAUAAUAAGGGAAUGUCCUAUUCCAACAGCUUUGAAUUUGCGAAAUUCAAGAUCGUGAGAAGAUUCUACUGAGACUACGACACUAAUGGUGAAACCCUUUCAUCAGUCCCCACUCAUGUUUAACAAAACUCUCCCCUUACACAAUUGAGUGUAUCAACUACAAAUUACAUAUAUCAAAGAGUUUGAGACUAACUAUAUAUACUGUAUAUGGACAUAAUCUAGAUGUCGUGGAGUUUUUUUUUUUUUACUUUUUCUUGAAGCUAUUGACUCAUAGUUUCCAAUUUCUUUUCUUUCUCAGUUCUCAUACUUUAGAUACUUCAGUCGACUGUUUGGCUUAGUAAGUCAGACAUAAUUAUUUUUUUUUUCAUAUAUAUAAACUGGUUCAGUUAUUUGAAAAUCUAAUAUAUUUCGUAGGUCGACCCAAAAUAAAAACCUACAUUGUUGUAAUUAGUUAUGGCAUUUUCCUCAACUCAACUGCAAAUUGUAUAUUAUAUAAUUUAAUGCUUUCAUAUGACAAUUUUCGAAGAUUAUACAAACACUCAUCUGCAUUGACGUGUGUGUGUGUGUGUGUGUGUGUCCACUAAGCAUAACAUUUGCGUUUAAAAAUUACGGUUAACGAAUGUACGUAUAGGGCCGCUACAAAUGUAUAACAAUGACUACAACAAAUGGGUUUCUUCGACACCGACAGAUACCUUUGGAUGUGAACGUACACCAAACAAUUGCAGUUUCUUCACAUGCUCCUCUUGUAGUAUGACGAUAACAUAUGUGCCUAAAGACAAUUACAUGUUAACAAGUAUGCAUGCAUUGCAUAUGGAUCAAAAAUAACAUUUUUUCUAGCGAUAUAUAUUAUUCGAAAUUGAAAUCUGAUAAUAAUGCAACGCGACACUAAUUCAGUCAAACUGUUAUGAUUAUAUUUGGUAGGUCAAUUUGUUUUAGAAAUGUUUUUAAUAUAUAUAUACUGUAUGUUAGAAGUUAAUUACUAUAUAUGUACGACACAGUUAUUUAACAUGUAAUUAAAUUUGAUUACAUGUUUUUAUCGCAUUGGAUUAUAGAUUUGCAAAUCCAUUAAUGCAUGGUUUUAAUAUGAGAUAUAUGAUUUUCUUACAAAGAAAAUAAAUAUAUAAAUUGAGAAUUGAUUGUACAACGGAUUUGGCCAUAGAUUAUCGAUGUCCCGUCGCCUUCAUUGCUUUCCUUGGCUUCUUUGUUUAUCUGCAUUAUCUUCAAGCUAGCCAUUACGUUCUUUAAUUAAAGUUUUAGCAUUGGAUUCUUUUUUAUCAUCCUCCUUCCUUGAUAAAAGUUAUAUAGAAUGGAGGAUGAGAAGGUGAGAUGAACACGAUAGACUUUUUGUUUGUUUGUUAACAUAUAUUACAUGAAAAUCGCAAAAUGCAAAUGGGAGAGAAACUAGCUACUGUAUAUGUCCUAAUCCAACUGCAAUUCUAAUCAACCUUCCAGAUCUUAGUAAGUUAUAUUUUUAUACAUCCUUUAGAUUUUUGUUUUUUUUUUUGCUAAGCAAGUAAAUAUCCUGAUUAGAUGAAGAGUUAAAAGUGUUACAAAUUUGGAAGACCUAAAAAGCUUGAACCUUAGCAAAACCGUUACACACAAGAAAUAGGAGAUGAAAAUACACAUAUUAAAUUGUUUACCCACAUACCCUUCAUCUACUGACUAACAUAAGAUAGUGACAUCCAAAUGAAAGAGAAUUUGUUCAUAUGAUCAAGAGGAGAGGAUAAGUAUAUAUACUUUUACUUGGUAUAUUCCAGUGUAAAUAGUAUUUGUGUCAAUUGUAUAACUCGCUCAAUCCAGCAGAACACAAGUAGUGUUUGAGUAUUCCUUGCUUAAUCAUGCAUAAGUACAUAAAACUUUUUACUUGUGUUCUAAGACACUUCUAUAUGUUUAAAUAAUUAUUUACAGAAAUAAAAAAUCAAAUUUGUCCGAGUAUGGGCUUGGAAACAAAAAGGAAUCAACACCAGUAAGCCAUAUGGGCUUCUACAAAUAAUGCAUACUUUAUAUUGGCUUUUGCUUAUCUCAAUCUUGACUCUUUCAACGAACAUUCGCGCCAUAAGCUCCUAAGUUCCUCUCAUCCAAUGGAUCACAUAUGACAAAGAAAAAAAAGAAAAGACAGAGAAAACAGAGACAGAGCGAGAAACAAGACAAGGGAUACAAAAUUUUAGUAAAUCUAAUCAACCAAACAAAAAAAAAAACACUUUGAUUAACCAAAAAAAAAAGAAGAAGAAGAAGAGUUUCUUGAAACUCACGGUGGCCUAGCUCCGGUUAAGUAAAUGGCCGUGGCCUGGCUAAUCUGGCCGUUCGUGCUAUCUCUAACAGCACUAUCCGCAAAUUCGAUAACAGAAACAGAAUCAUUGUUGAACUUCAAGAAGUCAUUAACCAACACCAAGUCUCUUGAUUCUUGGACAAUAGAUUCAGAGCCUUGUGGAGAAAGCAACCGAUGGGUCGGAUUACUCUGCAACAAAAACUCUGUCUUUGGUCUUCAAAUCGAACAGAUGGGUCUAUCAGGAAACAUCGAUGUCGCUCCUUUAGAAGACCUACCUUCUUUACGAACCAUAAGCAUAAUGAACAACUCUUUCUCCGGUAACAUACCCGAGUUUAACCGAUUAACCGCUCUGAAAUCAAUUUACAUAUCGGGUAAUCGCUUUUCUGGUAACAUUCCUUCUGACUAUUUCACAACGAUGGUGUCGCUAAAGAAAGCGUGGCUGUCAAACAACGAGUUCUCUGGUCUCAUUCCUAUCUCAUUGGCUACCGCAUUGCCAAAUCUAAUGGAGUUACGCCUCGAGAACAAUCAAUUCAUCGGUACUAUACCGAAUUUCACACAGACAACUUUAAAUGAUGUCGAUCUCUCAAACAACAAACUAACCGGAGAAAUACCUCGCGGUUUGUCUAAAUUCGAGGCCAAGUUUUUUGAAGGGAAUUCUCGUCUUUGCGGUGCGAAGCUAGCAACUGCCUGCCCACAACCAAGAAAUGCGACUGCGUCGGUUACAAUAGACGGAACACUAAAAGAUGCAAAUAAGAGCAAAUACUUUCUAGCAUUCGGGACAUUAGGAGUUCUUCUUCUCGUUGUUCUUAUCUCCUUAGCUUUCAGGAAGAAAAAGAAGAAGAGACGUAGGAAGAAGGCACUUCGUACCUCUGAACAAGACAGUGCUGAUGACCAACAAAUUCAGGUUAAAUUCCAUUACACGAAACUUCAUAGCUUUAAAACAUUAAAACAGAGUGUGUUUUUUUUUUAAUAUAACAAAACUAACAAACAAAAAAACAACUUCUUGAUAUGAUUGAGUCAGAUAACUGUUGAUGAAUCGAAGAGUAGCUCGAGGCAUAGUAAGGGUAGUCGCUCGGGCGAAUUGACGAAUAAAUCAACGGUUGCAGCAGAGCUGGUUAUGGUGAACAAAGAAAAGGGUGUUUUUGGUUUAACUGACUUGAUGAAGGCAGCAGCUCACGUGCUCAACAAUCCCGGAGGUGGAAGCAGCCGUCCUAGCAGCAACGGAGGCGUGGGAUCUGCAUACAAAGCGGUGCUUUCAAACGGCAUCACGGUGGUGGUGAAGCGUGUGACGGUGAUGAAUCAAGUGAGUGUUGACGUGUUCGACAAGGAAAUUACGAACUUGGGAACCUUGCGACACAGGAAUGUAUUAACACCUCUUGCUUACCAUUUCCGACGGGACGAGAAACUACUAGUGUUCGAAUUCGUCCCUAAUUUGAGUUUGCUUCACCGAUUACACGGCGAUCACAGUGAAGGAUUAGAUUGGCCAUCGAGACUCAAAAUCAUUCAAGGAGUAGCUAGAGGAAUGUGGUAUCUCCAUAGAGAAUUAGGUUUUCUGAACCUACCACAUGGAAACCUAAAAUCAAGUAAUAUAUUUCUUGCCGAAGACGGCGAGCCUCUAGUCUCCGAAUUCGGACUCCAAAGACUGAUCAAUGCCGACGCACUAUCUCAGUCUCUCGUGGCGUAUAAAUCUCCAGAAGCGGAACGUAGAGGAACACUCUCGGCGAAAUCCGACGUGUUCAGUUUCGGAGUGGUGGUUCUUGAGAUCUUGACAGGAAAGUUCCCGUCUCAAUACGCCGGUUUGGAUAGAGCCGGUGGUACGAAUUUGGUGGAGUGGAUUGGCUCCGCCAUGGAACAAGGUGGUUGGAUGGAUCUACUUCAUCCGACGGUGGUUAACGCUGCCGCUGAUGAUAAGAUCAUGGAGGAAGAGAUUGAGAACGUUUUAAGGAUCGGUGUCAGAUGUACCGGAGAAGAUCCAGAUCAGCGACCAAAUAUGACCGAAGUCAUCGAUGAACUAACGAUUGAAGAUUCUAACGACGACUUCAUCACCAUAGAAACUUAGCUUCACAUUCAUGCAUGCAGAUUCACCAAUUUUGUUUUUUUUUUUUUUUAAACUAUGCUUUUUUUUGUUUUUAAUUCGAUUCUCUCUAAAUUUGUAUAUGAUUAAAGUAUCAUCAACUUAAGGCUACUUGUAAACAAAAGAACUAAAGAAGUGUGUUUGAACGUUUUGAGAAUAGAUUAGUUAUCAGAUUGUAAUCUUGUUUUGUUACCACCUGUUGUAACCUUUGGUAAGUAAUAUUAACACACACCAUUAGCGAUUUGCUGUUUUUUUAUUACAACUUGUAAACUUUAAUUAGUAUUGAAACACACAACAUUUAGCGAUUAAGUAAUCAAUGGAAGUAUCGAAUUACGAACCAAUGAUAUGGCCAUAUCACGUGUUUGUAAUAUACGUACGUGAUGAAGAAAAGAAAAAUAUGAUAAAACUGAAUUGUAUUGACAGCUAAACACAGCUGUAGAUUAACGAAUCGUGAGAAAUUAUUAUUGCUUUUUAUUUUAUCUUUGUCUAUCAUGGAAAUGAUGGCGAGGAUUUAUAGAGACAUCUAAGUUAAGCAGACAACAAAAGACCCAUCACUGCAUUUGAUUAUUAAUCAUCACUCAUAUUCUAGGAACAAGAAAUUAUACGAGUACGAAUAAAUUAUAGUAUUGUGUUACUAUGAUUAUCUUAUUAAAUGAUAUUAAUAAGAUAUCUAUCUAUGCUCACUGAACCAGGACAAAAAAAUUCAUGUAUUUAGUGAAUUCUCUCAAACAUCAAAUCAAAGUAUAACAACUCGUAUAAAGUUUUUUUUGGGUUGUCUUGAAAGAUCGUGAUGAUUAUUAAAUUGGACACAUCUAAUGACAUUUGCUAACCCAAUAAAUGUUUUGCAUAAGAUGAGCUGUUCACAUUACAUUGGAUUUAUUUAUUAGGUUAGGACACCAUUUUUGUGUUAUCUUUAUAAAAACGUCAUCGAAUUGAACUUGUACUCGUAUUGUUUUUUUUUUUUAAUAAGUCUUAAAUAAUAAUGUAUAACUGGCUAAAUCCAGCAGAGCACCACUCGUGCAACAUUAUUUUUUCUCGUGUAAUGUAAAACUGACUUCAUGUUUCUAGACUGUCCCGUAUCAAUAAUUUAAGUAUAAAAGAUCAUUAAUAAAUGUUUCCCACUGUAAUUUAACAAAAAAACGACUAGCUCAACAUUAAUAUCAUUUGUUCGACAAACAAAACAAUAAUUUAUGAUAUAAAUGAUCUUAUAUUACAUCCCACCUAUAAGAUGGAAAUAAAAUUUAGUUUAUCAUUAAAAAGGAAAUUAAUAGCAUUAGCCAUUAACGUUAACAAAUUGUGUUGUGAAAGUAUAUUUUUUAAAAUGUGUCACCGUGAAUCUUUAAAAAAGGCAUAAUGCAUGGGAAAUCGGGUGCAAGCACGUGAAUGUCGGCCCAUUGCAGCAGUCGAAUAGUUGACUUACUACCUUCUUCAUAUGAUUCUUUUUGGAGUACUAGUAUUUAACAACACAUUUUAUUUUCUCCCCUUUAUUUUUUUUUUAAAAUUUGUUUUCAACAAAGUUUAACCAAAUCAAUAAAAAAAAAAUUGGAAUGGUAACAUAAACCAAUAAACGAUUUUUAAUACAUAAAAAAAUUAUAAGAUAUUUUCCUUUGCAAAUUUUAGGGUAAAGGAAAAUAUCUUAUAAUUUUUUUUAUAUUCCUAAAAUACUUGCAUUAAGGAUGAUCUAAAUACCUAAAAAUAAGAUAUAUCACGAAAAAGACAGAAUAAAAAAAUGUAUUUUUUAGUAAUUAAUUAUCAAUUGUAAAUUAGAUUUAAUAAUUAAUUAUCAAAUUAUUAAUUUUCAAUCAUAAUAUAAUUUGUUUAAUUUUUUUUUUGUUGGUGAAGAAUCUAUAGAUGAAAACGUUGGAUUUAACUUGAAAAAGGCGCUUCCCAUGACGGUUAAGAGCUGUUAAAAAGCAUCUUCAAAAAUAAAAAUAAAAACUUUGGACGUAUUAACUUUUUUUUUUUUUUCUUAAAGCUUAUACUCUGUUGCUUUUUUUAAGUUUCGUUUCAAGUCUCCAUCAUAAGAAAGAAGAACUCUUUCCAUUGUUGCACUUUUUUUUUGUGUUCUUCUUCUCUGUGUUUUGCUAUCAUCAUCACUCGCAUGAAACAAUGGACCAAACUCACGGCGUCGACGGGCUCGAAGACUGUUCUGUUUCCGGUUUCGAAUCAGCUGAGAAAGUUAUCAUCCGAUGGGACGCCACAGCUUCCGAAGAAGCUAGAGAGAAGAUGAUCUUCAACGAUCCGCUAGAAGUUAAGCUUUACCUCAACGCCGUCGACGAAAUCCAAAAGUUCGUUUCUUCCGGCGGAGAUAUCGAGAACCGAGCUAACUCAGCUAUCCAGAUCGCCAUGGCUCGUCUCGAAGACGAGUUCAGGAACAUUCUCGUCUCUCAUAGCUCUCCGAUCAACUCCGAUUCUCUAAUGUUGUCUUCUUCUUCUUCCUCUCAGCUUGAGGUUGACGAAGACGGAAGCAGUAGUAAUAAUGGUAACAGUAACGAAGACGAUGAGCAGGAGGAAGAAGAAACGGAUCUUCUGAAACGAUCCGGUUCGAGUGCUAGUACCGGUUCAGCGGCGGUUCGUUUACCAACCGGAAGAGGUAGUUACAGUAGAUCUACUAGUAGUAUACGCGAGAUCGAGCUGAUUCCGAUUGAAUCCGUCGUUCAUCUCAGCUGGAUUGCUCGCCGUAUGGUCUCAGCUGGUUAUCUCCGUGAGUGUAUUCAAGUUUACGGUAGUGUUCGCAAAUCCGCCGUUGAUUCGAGUUUCCGGCGGUUAGGGAUCGAGAAACUUAGCAUCGGAGAUGUUCAGAGGCUGAACUGGGAAGCGCUUGAGCAGAAGAUUCGCCGUUGGAUCCGAGCUGCUAAGAUCUGUGUGAGAGUCGUGUUCGCGAGCGAGAAAUUGCUCUGUGAGCAUGUUUUCGAAAGCGUCGGAGCUGUUAACAUACACGAGGCUUGUUUCAUGGAAACAGUCAAAGGUCCGGCGAUUCAGCUUUUUAAUUUCGCCGAGGCGAUUAGUAUCAGCAGGAGAUCGCCGGAGAAGCUUUUCAAGAUCCUUGAUCUCCACGACGCUUUGAUUGAGCUUUUGCCGGAUAUUGAAUCAGUCUUCGAUCUGAAAUCUUCUGAUUCGAUUAGGGUUCAGGCGGCGGAGAUACUGUCGAGGUUGGCGGAAGCGGCGAGAGGGAUAUUAUCGGAAUUUGAAAACGCCGUUCUUCGUGAACCUUCUAGAGUUCCUGUUCCCGGAGGUACGAUACAUCCGUUGACGAGGUACGUGAUGAACUACAUUAGCUUGAUCUCAGAGUAUAGACCAACUUUAAUCGAUCUCAUCAUGUCAAAACCAUCAAGAAACUCUACGGAUUCAAACACGCCUGAUUUUGAUUUCUCCGAGUUAGAGAGCAACAAAGGUCCAUUAGCACUACAUCUGAUUUGGAUCAUAGUGAUUUUGCAAUUCAAUCUUGAAGGCAAAUCAAAGUACUACAAAAACGCAGCUUUAUCGCAUCUCUUUAUCAUGAACAACGCACACUACAUUGUCCAGAAGAUAAAAGGGUCUCCGGAGCUACGGGAAAUGAUAGGAGAUCUUUACUUGAGAAAGCUAACGGGUAAGUUUAGGCAAGCUGCGACAUAUUACCAAAGAGCUGCUUGGGUCAAAGUCUUGUAUUGCUUAAGAGAUGAAGGAUUGCAUACAAAAGGAAGUUUCUCAUCAGGUGUUUCGAGAAGUGCGUUGAGAGAGAGGUUUAAAUCUUUUAAUGCUUUGUUUGAGGAAGUUCAUAGAGUUCAAUCACAAUGGUUGGUUCCAGAUUCUCAGCUGAGGGAAGAGUUGAAGAUCUCGAUAUUGGAGAAGCUUAGUCCGGCUUACAGAUCGUUUCUUGGGAGGUUCAGGAGUCAUAUAGAGAGCGGGAAACACCCGGAGAAUUACAUUAAGAUCUCAGUCGAAGAUCUAGAGACCGAGGUUCUUGACUUGUUCGAGGGGUAUUCUGCAACUCAGCAUCUCAGAAGACGAUCCGAGUGAGAGAGAUAAGUAUUUAUUUUUUUCUGCUGAAGUUUUAGAGUUUUUUUUUCACUGAGACAGAUUCUUUGUAUUCUUUUCGCGCAAUUCGGGUUCUUUGCGGGAGAGCCAAAAACCGAGCAAGAAAGAAAGAAGGAUUGAUGAUACAACUUUGAUUUAAAAAAUUUCAGAUUCAUGAGUUGUAAUGUUGUAUGAACUUUUAAUGUAUCUGUUUGGUAUGCUUGCCAAAUUCAUAGCUUAAAAUCUUUUUUUGUUCAUUUGUUCAUAUGAUCAAGUUGUAUGGUGUCAAUGUCAUAUCCGUUUUUAAGCUUAAUAGCCGUGUUGUCAUAGACCAACGCAUAGGAGAUACAAGAAAGAAAAACUAACUUUAAAUGUAUGUUGCAACAUAGGAUAACGAGAUUCAGACAUUACAUUGUGACAAAAACAGCGCACACAAACUAACACUACAACACCGAAGACAAAGACUGAUUAAGUCUCUUAACCUUUGUAUUGUACAAACUAAACUCACGUGAUCAAAAAGAAUACAUGUAGAAAAAUUGAGGUGUUGAUAAAGAGAAAGAAGUAUCAAAAGCGAUGGUUGUGACUACUGUCUACACUACUUUACUCUCUUUUAUCUUCCUCCAAGUCUUUUUCUACUUCUCCUUCGUCGUCUUGUGAAGGUCUGGUUUCUGAGAGGUUCUUGACUUCUUGAGAAGUAAUUGGAGAUGGUUUAAUGAGGGUUAGUGUGUAAUCGUCCUUCUCAAACUCCGCGCUUGUAUCUCCUGAAGAACCAGAGAAGGCGUACCUAUAUGAAGAUAAGGAGGGUAAAAACGAUUAGACAUGGUUCUAUUUGCUAAGCUGCAGUUUCAUUCACAUUUGCGCUCAGUUACUAUUGGUAACAACCGACCAACAUCAAACUUCAUAUUGAAUUUUCAAAUGUUCUUCUUGGAUACGGCGUUACCUAGUCGAGUUCUGAGAUGGAGCCCAGAGAGAACAGAUAACAAUUAGGAGAGAAAAGGAGAGAAGUUGCCAGAAGGCCGGGAUGAUCCAAGCGUUUUGCCAAUGUUCGUUGUAAACAUCCUUCGACUUGAAAUAAAGCUGCCAAUGACAAAAAGCAUUAGAAAAAAACUUAUUCUGAUUUUGAAUUCGAACAAGCCAAUGCUUUUUUCGCUAUUGAGAUUAAAGCCAUUUGUUUGUUAAUUUACCUCGUAGCAAAUCCAACCCAAGGAAACCAAAAUGGCUACAGCCAAAGCAUUUGUGAACUUUCUGUAUAUAUCCAACUUGACCAACAACCUUCUGGUCUGAAGCUUCUUGAACGUAGCAGAGAGGGAUUUGAAUAUCCAUAUGAUAAAGAAAGCAUCCAAUAUUGCAACAGGAAGAACAAAAAACAGACGAGCUUUCCCAGAGAGAUCGCUGACAGCACCUACAUUUUCCAUCAGCUCAAGAAUUUCAGACGCAACAAAGAAGGUGACACCGAGCAUGAUAACCUUUGAUGUAAAGCCCCCGAGCGUAGGCCUCACAACACCAUAGCCCAUUGAAACCAUCAAGAUGAUAAUGCGAGCACUUGUACGCUUGAUGGAACCAAAAGUGACUGCCCAGAUGGUGAUCACGGUUGGUCUGACCCCGGUCUCAUUGAAUUCAGCAUAGUCGAAAUACCAAAGUGCCAUCUCACACAUUCCCAGGGUUAUCACCAGAGUUAAGCAAUUCUGCAACGGAAGCACUUCUCUCCAGAAUCUAGCACACUGCGAGAACCAGAAGAUGCCAAGCAACACAAAAGCAAGCGACAUGAACCCGUAAAAGUACAUCAACGGAGCCAUUCUACCGGGUAGAUAUCCUGUAGGAUUUUUCCAAAUAGUUUUCCCUUCAACAACCAAAUCCUUGAGAUCAGAAUCACAAUGAAUGAAGUAGAGGUUGUACAUCCCGGUCUUAGUGACCUGGAUCGAUCUUGUUGGCAGCGUAACAGACAACUCAUUCUCAGGCAACGAAACACCAAACACUUGUGGCCAACCAGAAUCUUUAGCAGAAGGACGGUAAAUGACAUCUCCGUGAGAGCAAACACCAAGUUUGGCCAGAUCAGAUGUGCAGCACACAGCUCUUUGCCCACCAUAAGCUGAUCCUCCAAUGUUUUCCCGGUCCUCUACCUCAAAUACCACAGCGUGGAUAGGUAAUGAGGAUCUGUUAGAUACUUCCUUAGGUCUCUGAAACUUUAUCUUCUCAAACCUGUCAAUAGCAUUUCACCGUGAAGUUAAGGCUCACACAAAACAAACACAGAGUAUCAAACUUAUAACAGGAGAACACAGCUAAAGGAGUUACUCAAAGAACUGAAUCAGCUUGAAACUAUAAGAUCCAAACCGCCAAGUAACAAUUUUGCAACUAAUAGUGACCCAAUUGAAGAGCAUUCAUUGCCCUUUAAUGAAUUCAGUGAUUAACAAAUCAGAUCCUAAGUUGAAUUAAAAGAAGAAACUUUGACUGUUAAAUUACCGGAUAAAGGAAACGGAAUCGGAGUCGGAGUCGGAAGUGAAGUUAUCGGAAGGAGAAGAGGAGUAGAUGCCUUCACUGCCACCAUGGAACACAAAGGCGUUGCCUUUGGACAUGAAUCUCUCGCUUCGAUACUCAUGCACCGACGCUUGGACUUUCAAAGAUGACGUUAGACAUAGCAGAAGCAGAAGACGAAGUUGGAGCAACAUUGUAAACCCAAUUUCUUGCAGAGAUCUGAAGGAAGAGAACUGAUGACUGAAGAAGUCAGUGAGGAGAGCUCAGAUGUGUCAAAUCAGUCGGUUGAUCGGACGGCUGGUAAAGGUUGCUCCUUGAUCGUUCUCCAGAUGUUUGAAGGUUCUACUUCUACUAUGUUAAGUGUAGUUGGACUAGUGAAGCCUCCACACCACUUAGAGGGUCUAGUAUUUUAGUUCCUGAAAUUUUUAUGGGCCUUCGUGAGCCCAUUAAUUAUAUUGUGAUAUAUGGUCCAGACUCCAGACUGGAUCUUACUAUUUUUUUUUUUUUUUUUUGUCUGAGAGAAAGUAAUUUAUGUAUUGUUACUAUUGUAGCACCAAACUGUCAUGUGUAGAUUUUAUUUGUUGAGAUCAGGAAUGAACAAACAUAAAAAUUGUGUAUAUUGUUAGGGUUGUAACACCAUCUGAGUUUGAAUCAGGUAACUCGUAUAUUGUUAUUCCAAAAAAUAACAAAAUUUGUAUCAACAGUGUAAAAUAAUAUAUUGAAGACUUGAGAUCCAGUCUAAUCCUCCUAACAAGGGUAUUGUUUAUGAUUUUUUUUUUAUUUAUUUUGAAUGAGAAAGUUAUACAUAGUUGUUGUGAAAAACUUUCAUUUUCAAUAUCUUGAUUCAAAUCUCUCACAUAAAAUUUAAUUACAUCAAAAUUAGUUCAUAUAAUACCCCAAUUUAGUCUUUAUUUUCUAUGUUUUGCUCUUAUAAUAUACUAUUCACAGAUUCUUUAUGAAUAUCGAAAAGUUUAGUGACAUUCCUAGAAAAGAUUACAAAAUGAUAACAAAAAUUACAAGGCUAAGACAAAAGUUUUAUUAAUCUGAAUAGUUUUGUGUUACAAUAAGUAAAAAAAGAAAAAGAAAACAAAACAUGUAAAAAUGACUGAAAAAAAAAAGAAAAAAAGAAAGAGGAAGUAUGUCUCUAUAAACCAAGGUUAUCCACCUGAAAAUACAUACAUACAUGUAUGUGUAUAUAUAUAUAUAUCUAUCUUUACAUAUACACACACAUGUAUGCAUGCAUAUAAAUAUCUUCAUGUACUGUCUGAUGUUUAAGUUCCCAAAACAUGUUUGGUUUUUAAGAUCCAACCAUGCAAAAAAAGGGAUUCAUGGGAUCUUGCAGAUUACCCAAAAACUUUCAUCAGAAAGAAAAUGAAAUUGAUUGAUCGAUCAUUUCUUUGUCUUGAUGUCAUUGAAAGAUUCUCUAUAUAUAUCUGAGAAACAAAACAUAAUAUCUAAUAUCAGAUUCAAUAUUAUAGGCAAAAUGCAACUGAAAAUGAAACAUUUUUUAUUGAUCAGGUUAAUUAUUUACCUGUACUUUCUUGUAAGAACAUGAAUAAGGCAAAUGUGGAUCAAUAUAUUCAGAUCUCAAGAACAAUGACUGCACAAGAAGAAAAAUAAUCGAAUCAGUUCAUGUAUUUUUUUCUAUUUUGAUUUAUUUUAUAACAAACCAAAAGAUCUGAAAACUCACAAUCAGAAUCUGUUUUGACCCAUUUACCGCCGUCGCUACUACUUCUCCCUUCUUCUUCCUCAUUCUUCAAAGAAAGUUGUUGCUUCUCUUGCAAGUUUUUAAUCGUUGAUGUUUGCUUCGAGGAAGGUUGAGUGUUAAUCUUCUUGUGUAGCAUCGUUCUCAGCAACUGUAUUAUACAGUGUUAAUAAUCAAUGUCAUGUAUAAGUUUUAUUCUGGAAGUUAUGUGUUGUGAACUUUAAUUAGCGAGCAGUACCUUCUCCAUUCUAGAUUCUUGAAACGUGUCUCUCAAGCUAGGGUUAGGUACUGGGGAGAAACCUUCUGCACAUACAAACAUCUUCUUGAGGAGAUGAGAAACAGAGGUUUUGCUCAAGUCUCUCGUACUCUUCUUCGUCUUGUUCUUGCUCUCUGUCGAAAUGGCUUUGCAUCUUCCUAAGAUAACACUGAUCGUACGCUCAAUGUCUUCUUCCUUCUCAUCGGAACAAAGCGCGUUGCUGAUUCUUCUAUCGACCUCAAGACUCGAAGGACAAUUCAAGAAUCUAUCCAAAGGAAGAUUUGCCAAUUCUCUGUUCACGUCAGAAUUCCUCUUCUUGCUCCUCCUCGUCAAUAGCUUCGUCAGCUCCUUUUGUAGUUUCCCGACUUCCUCAGGAGUGAAAUCUUCUUCUAGAUCGUCGGAGGAAUAAGAAAGAUCUUGAUCUCUAUCUUGUGCUUGUUCUUCCACGUGCGUGUUAGAAACCGUCUCUUCUUGAAUCACUUCUUGAUCAAGUUUUUGUGGUGUAUGCUCUUUGUUACCGAAUGUUCCGAUCGCUAGUAACCCGUGAGGCCAAUCGCUAAACUCCUCUCUCGGUUGAUCUUGUUAACAGAAAACAAAAGAAAACUAUGAGAUCGGAGCCAAUCAAUGGAAAGGAGAAUGUUGGGAGGAGUAUUUUUUGCUUUGCACAUGUCCCAAGUAGACAGCAACUUUGGUAAUCAAAAUUUUUGUUCUCGACAAAGAAGUAGACAAUAGAAUCUUCAAUCUAGUUAAUUAGUGUAAUCUUGAACUUACGAGAAGAAGCAGAGGAUAUGCUUGGUCUAUGAGUAUUCCCUUGUUUCCCAUGUAGCUUGUUUUGCAUCCACCCGAAGAACUGAUAAAAAAAGACAAAAAGAAUACCAUUUAUGAGUUAUCAUGCUACACUAUUUUUGAAAAUAAGAACAAGACUCAUAGGAGUGAUUAAACGAACCUUCAUGUCUUAAUGACACAGAAGAAAAAAAUGGAAAUGGAAUAAUCGGGUUUAUGGUGAAUCAAGAAGCUUUAAAUACAAGUAGAGAUUCAAAGAACCAAAUAUUUUGAUAAAUUUGAUGGUUCAAGUUCCAAAAUUUGACGGCCUUAAUCGUCCAGAUUCACUUCUUCAAUAGAGAAAGCAAACAAGGAAGAGGAAAAAUACAAAAAAGAGUAAGAUAAAUCUCGGAGUUGGUUGGUUUGGUAAACUUGUGUUCAGAGAUAAAGAACCUUUACUCACACUCCUCUUUAUAGUUCAUACAUAUAUACAGCUCACUCACGACGUACGACUCAUAUUGACGCACAUGUCCCCAUGCAAACGAUCGAGGUCCAAAGAAACAUUCUUUUGUGCGUAUUUAAUUUGUAUUGUAGCUUAAUUAAUUAAUUAACGUUGAGUAUUAUAAAAUAUUAUUUGUGUAUCGGAGAGAACGUCACGGCUUUGAUCACGAUUCAUAUAAACGGCACUUCGUUUCAUCAAAUAGUCUCAUUUUACCAUUUUUUCGACUAUCUAUAAAAGGAUAUGAAAAAUGAUAUUGAAUCCCUAGAAACCAUUUGACUCGUUAUUGAAUGGUUACCACACUGACACGAAGAUGAAGAUGCUUCUACACAUUUUGAUAAUUUAUGUGUGUGAUUUUCGUGGAAAUUUUCAUUUUUAAUUGAUUUCUUGAUUUGUCAUUGUAAGAUGCUAAGAAUUUAUAAAAAAAAAAAUGUAAUGAAUUAUAUAUGUGGUAGAUUGAAAAGGAUAUGAGGAAAAAAGUUAUCAAAAAAGCUUUCAAAUGUCAUGCCGUACAAAUCAAACGUCAAAAAAUGUUUAUGAAGUCGUUGUAUAAUUUGUGACCCUUUUAAUGUGAAACGUAUUAUUGAAAAAAAAAAGUUGCAGUUCAAAGUUCUGAUCCACAAGUAAUUCUUAUAGCAAAAACUAUACAAUAUGUGUAAAAUAUCAUUGUAAGGCCAAGAUCGAAUUGUAAGGCUAAGAUCGAAUUCUAGAGCAUUUCAGAAAAAUCUAAGAUGGAAAGAGACAGAAAGAAAGAGAGAAAUUUUGUAAAAAGCAAUCAAACCCCACGAAGGAAACUCAUGCCAUUGUCCCCUUACCCAUCUAGCUAUACAAUUUAUCUAUAAUAUUUUACAUCAAAUAAUUGAAUACAUAUGUUGUGGGCGUGUAACGCAUUUUGAUCUAAUCAUCGAUAUAUCACACGUUGCAUGGUGCCACGUUCGUAUUACAAAGCCAUGUGAAAUUUAUCCUAGUUCCCGGAUGUUAUAAUGGCCACGUAAAUUCUUUUGUUUUUCUAUCAACCAAGUUUGUGCACAUCUAACAUUUAUCGACUUUGAUGUAAUGGUUUGACCACACAUAAACUGUUGGCGAUACUAUAAUGUGUAUGGGUCUUUUAAUAAAAAAGAUGCGUCGUUUAUAUUUUGUAUUGAUACUUGCGUUAAGAUUAUAUUUUAGGUUUAAAAGACGUCGAGUUAAAUUGACUGAAAUGAAGUACUACCUCAUUCAGUGAAUUUAAAAUAGAAAUAUAGUAUAUGGCAGGCGAAUUGAUUAUUGUGACAAAUAUUAGUAGAUUUGAUUGAAACCUACACAAUUAUGGAAAGAGCCAUGAGGAUUUGGUAUAACUUUAUCAGUCACAUGAGUGAUUGAUCGUUUGAUAGUGGAUUAAAAAUAGCCAUUAGUGAGUUAAGUUACAAAAUGCUCUUUCAAUCAUAAUUUCAUGGUUUCUCGUUAUUACUUUAUAAUUAGAAGAGAAGAGAAAAAAAGAAAGAGACAAUAGGAAAGCAAAAAAAAAAGCAGAGUCGCUUUAUCGUCGGAGAGAUGAGCCCACCACACCUGACACCACUCCCAAUCACGUGAACUCAGGUCCAAUCGACAUUCGCCACGUCGUGCCUGCCCUUGCCUUGUCCACUUGUCUUUUUAUUCCAACUUACUUUUAAUUGCGUUUUUCCAAAUAUUAGAAAAUGUAUUUGACGAAAUAAAAAACAAAUGUGAAAAAUAAUAGAAAAGAGAAUGUUAGAAAAUAUCACUUUUGGAAAGAAAAAAAAAAUUCGAAUUAUUUUAUGUUAAGAAAAAAAAACAUAGAAUGUUGAAAUAUGAAUUGUGAGUGUUAAAAAAAAAAUGUUGAAAUAUGAAUUGUUUAGUAAGAGUAUAUAUAUAACGAAUGAUUAUAGGUGAAUUACUUAUAUAUAAAAAACGAAUUAUUAUAGGUGAAAUCAAUAAUGAAAUAUGGAAAAGAAAUAAAAUUUAAAAUUAACAUCUCAGUGUGUUAAGUGAUGAACAAAUAUGCUAUUAUAUUUCUAUAUAAAUGAUAUCGUAAGAUAACAACAUGUAUUAAAUUAUGUAUUAGCAUGGAUUAUUUACGUAUAAUUAAAACAAAAAACAAAAAAAAAAUACUAUUAAGAGAACAAAUUACUUAUGUUUAGAUAUUUGAUAUUUCAAAAAAAAGUACGACUUGUAAAUUAUACCUAGUUAAGUGUAUUUUCUUUUACUUUAGUCAACUAUUUUUUUUUUCUUCAAAAUUGAUCAGUCUUAGACUUUACUAAAUAUUUUACAGUUUGUAUAGUUACUAUUGUAAGAAAAAAAACCCUACAAAUUCUUACAAGAGAGAAAAAAAGAACAAAGAAAUGGUUCGAGGAAAACGUAUCAUAAAGCUAAAAAGAGUCCAAAUAUGCAACCCUUUUCCCAAAAGAAUCGGAGUCAGGUUGACAUUGCUCUAGCUAGCCAGUAGCCAAAGAGGUGAUCUAUUAUAUAUGCACAACAUCCCAAGAGAAUCGUACCAUACUUUUUGUAUAUUCAUCCUCAAACUGUAUACGUAUAAAUACUAGAAACAUUGCACGAUAAUCAAAUACCACUACAAAAAAAUGACUAUAUUGUAUCACUUAAAUUGUAUCACAAAUUUAAGUGAUCUUAUUUUAAAUUACCUUUUAAUAAGUGAAGCAAAUAUAAAUAAUUUAACAUCAAUUACAUUACUGAUGCUAAUAUUAACUAAUUUUCAUCAAUUAUUUAAAACUGAUUCAAUUUCUAGUAGAUUGUAUCACUUUAAAAGAAAUUGAUGUAAAAUACAUAUUUACAUCAUUUAGAUAAUUGAUGUAUGUAUUUUUUUGAUAAAAUCGAUUUUUUAAAUGAUACAAAAUUAACACCAUAAAAAAGUGAUGCUAAAAUAAAUUAUAUUAAUAGCAUCAAUAAAUUACAUAUAUUUUUAGAAAAACGAGGUAAUUAGAAAAAAAUUCAUAAAUUAAGAUGAUAUAAUUUUAUUUAAAAUAUUACUUUUCGAAAUAUUUUUUUGUUUUCAUAAUAAUUUAAUUUACGAUUGUGUUCUAUAUUUUAAAUGUCAAAAAAUGAUUUUUACUUUUUCUCUAAAGUCCUCAUCUUUUAUUUAUUAUUUUCUUCAAUUAUGUUUGAUAAACUGUUUUAUUAAAAAUAAAAUAAAAAAUCAAAAUAUCACCAACUAACCCACGAUCUUUAGAACUCCUUUUAUGUAUAAAUAUUUUCUAAAACUUUUCUCUCCAUUUCACAAAACACAAACAAAAAAUAUGAAAAUCAUCAUACGACAAAAACUCUUCUCUGAGAAUUUUCAAAGAAGUUUUUCUUUCCAACCAUACAACUCCAGGUGAAUCAAUUUAUAUAUAGGUUUACAUUUCUAAAAAAUCAUAUCGAUAAGUUCAUCUUCUAAACCCUUUCUUCUUCUUCUUUUUCUCAUUGUGUGUUUAUUGGUUUUCAUACUUAAGAAAUUCUUACAGUGAAGAAGGACAAAGAUACUUCAAAGCAAGAGUUUUUUUUGAGGAAGAAGAUUUGAAGUUUUUUUAGAGGAAGAACUGAAAUUUCUCAGAAGAAAGAACAAUUAACAAAGGAAGAAGCAUGGAGUAAAGGAAGAUUGAUUANNNNNNNNNNNNNNNNNNNNNNNNNNNNNNNNNNNNNNNNNNNNNNNNNNNNNNNNNNNNNNNNNNNNNNNNNNNNNNNNNNNNNNNNNNNNNNNNNNNNUGUGAUAUAUUUGAUUAGAUUUUUAGUAGAUAUAUUCCAACAAGAUUUUGAGAGAAAAUAUCCACCAUAAUUUUGCUAUAUAUUAGGAAAAAUAACAAACAAAAAAAUAAUUAGUAAAUGUAUUAAAAUAAUUAAUAUUUUAAUUUAAUAAUAAUUAUUUCGUAAUUAAGUAUAUUAUUUCGUAAUUAAUAAUUAUAUUUUUAAAUUAAUUAUAUUAGUUUGUUUGAAAUUGAUAUAUAUAUAUAUAUAUAAUUGACAUCGAUUAUGAUAAUCCACACAAAUAAUAACAUCACUUUUACAAACUGAUAGGAAAUAUAGUAUCAUUUUUGAAAAUUGACUUAUUAUUAAUAUCAGUUAUAAGAACUGAUACAAUUUUUUUUUUUUUUGCAUCAGUUGAUUAAAAACUGAUGUGAUUUAUUUGCAUCGGCAAUAUAAGUAUCACUUUUAUAAGUGAUGUAAAAUUUCAUUGUAUCACUUAUAAGUAAUGUAAAGUUACAAAAUAAAUGAUUCAAUCCACUCAUUUUUUUGUAGUGUACAUUACUAUAUACAUAUGUGAUAUACUAGAAGGAGAAAUAUCGUAUUAGUUACGGAUUCUUAUAUGCAGAUCGAUGUUGGUAAUUAACUCUAAUAAUACAAAUUAUACAGCAUAAGAUAUAUGUAAAUUAAUAUAUAAAUUUAAGGGUAUGAAUAUAUUAUUAUCAAAGUCCAAUAGCGUUUCAUGUUACCAAAUGAACUAACAUCAUUGGAGGAAACAUGCAAUAUCUUUUAUUUGUCCCCAUGAAACUGUCUUCUUACUUUAUCUUCUUCUAUUGACUUCUUCUCCUCUCUUUGAUUGUGUAUUAUUAAGUUACUAACAGUAUCUUUAGAGAAAAUCGAGAUUUUAGUUUAGAUUAAACUAAUCACUUAUAACAUAUCGGAUGAGUGUUUGUGGCGACUUGAGUACUCUAAAUGGUGCAUUGGUAUAAAAGAAAUGUGGACGAAAAGGAUUGUACUGGACCACUUAAACCAUCAUUAUUGGAAAUAAUGUGUGGUUUAUAUGGUUAAUACGUUGCCUUAAACAUUUGCUAAUCGUGAUUAACAACUUUUGAGAUGUCUUUGUGAUUUUAAACAGAACACGUGUAAGGCAUCUGAAUAAUAUAUCUCCAUAUAUGCAACUGAUCAAACUACUGAAAGUAGUACCAAUGUACUAUAUAAUCUAGCAAAAAUAAAAUAAAAUAAAAUAAAGUACUCAUGUACUAUUACUAUAUAUACACAUGAAUUUUAUUUUUCGUCAUGCAACUCGUCAGCAUGCCCUUCGUUUAGGAUGUGAGAUUUUGUUUUUUUUUUAGGUUACAGAAUUGAUAAGUUGUCAAAUUACAAAAUACAGUAUGGCAUUAUUUCAAUUAACCUUCCCAAGUUUGCCUACACAUUAAAAAGUUAUUAUUGUAUUUAAUGAAAUCCCCAAUACUUUAUUGAUAUAAAUAUAUACUUUAUUUCAAAUAAGAUAGAAAUUUUGUAUGCGGCUAAUUAACUGUUACCACAAAAUAAUUUUGGAAUGUUAUUUGAAAUUUUGUAUUUAAAAUAUAUAUUUUGAAACAAAAAUGCAGUUUAAUAUAAAAAUUAUAAUGAAAGGAAAAUGACAAUACAGUAGUACAUGUUUUGUAAAAUUAGUGAGAAAACAAGUUCCACCAUCUACAAAAAUUGUUGUGAUUUCUCCUCUCUUUUUUUUUUUUGUAUGAGCAAAAUCUUUAAGUUGUUGAAAGACUCAUUUUUUACAAGUUUGAGGAUCAAUUACUUUAUAUUUAUUUGUUUGCCGAUCACACUAUUAUAUAUAGAUCAAGGUUUGAAAAUAACAUCAAUCUAUCAACUUCAGGCCUAAUUACAAUAUGUAACCCACAGGUGCAACUUUUUUUGCAAAUACUUGGAUCUCUUUUCUUUUAAUUUUUUUUUCAAACAUACUUGGAUCUCUUGAAAAAUGAUAUUUGUAUGUACCAUACAAGCGAUGGACAAUAUUAGUCUUAACUCUCGACUCCAGACUAUGAUGGACUGUUCUAUCUACAAUACUCAGGUUUUCGAUUAGCUUUACAUCAUUAUUUUGCAAGGAAGUGUAUUUUGGGGGUGUUUGUAGUAGUCGUCAAAUCAGAUGCAAAGCGAUUUAAAUUACUUAGCUAGAGAGAUGAAGUCAGGAAAAAGAAGAGAUGAGAGUUAUUACAUCGAGAUAAGAAAAAGAGAGAAGUAAGGAGAAGAAAAUGGGGGAAGCACGUGGAGUGAGCAUGACGAGGUCUCUUUGUGUUUUGUAACCUUUCCAUUAUACUACCAAAUCUUUCCAUUUCUGGAAUGUUUUCUCUCUUCCGCUUCCUUUCUCAAUCUACGCAACAACUCUCCCUUCUUCAAUGCCCUUUAAUCUCUCUUAUUUGUUUAAUAUACUAGAAAGAGAUCAUUCUCAUUGGAUCUCAAAUCUCUUUGUCUAUAAGUCAAAACUUUUACAGGCUAAUCUUGUUUGAGAUACUAUAUAUAAGUAAAACAAUAUUGGAAUCUGUUUGAUGUCUAUUGGUUUAUUGGUACUUGUUCUCUCAGUCGUCUGUCUUUGAACCUGAGCAUCGAAUUUGAAUUUGGAUAUGCACUGAUAUUAUGAUCCUCUUCCCAAUAUUUGUUUUACAAUACUAUGUGCCUAGUUGUGUUUGUAAUUCAUAUAUUUUGCAUACCAUCAAGAUCAUUAUACAGCUGGGUUCUAAUGUCUAGCUACGAGCCUACGAUCAGCUAUAUUAUCGUAAAUGGCAGCGGUAAUGUAAACUACAUAUAGAAAUAAGACUCACAAUGAUAUUAAUCAAAGUUUAUUACAAAGCAACAACUAAAUAUUCAUUUUCGUCCUUGAAAAAAAAAACGUUAAUAAUCAGAUCAUUCUCUAUCCUAUAGCUAGUCGUUUCUAUAAGUUAUGUUUGGUUCAAUAACGAGACAUGAUUUGAUGUGUUUUUUAGCUACUAUAAAUUCAAGAGCUGGUUGCUACGGUGUCGGAUCAGUGGUCGUCUGAACGAAUACUAAAAGAUGGUACAUAACAAAUUGGGUGAAGAAGUUGAUCAUCCCUUUCAGAUGAUGUUCCCUAACAAAAUCAUCAAAUAUCUUAUGAUAAUUCCUGUUUUAUUCGUUGUUGACAGACAGGUUUUUGUGCAACUAGUUUUGAAGAAAUUAUUCAAAUCAAGUAAAGCUUAUUUCAUAAAUUAGUAUAUUAAUUAGUAGUCAAAAUACAUUAGUCUUGUAACUUAGGAACAUGGUGUGACAUCACAACUUUAAUUACAAAUACAUAUAUUACACACUAAUUAAUUAUAUAAUUCUCAUUUUUUUUUCUAAGAGAGUAAACCCAUUAUUGAAUUUACAUUCCCUCCUUAAUUAUGAUUUUGACAUUGUCCUGAUUACUUAGAGAUCAAGACAGCCACAGACUUCGAAACAGCAACCUAUACACUGGAAACAAGCCAGUGCUGCACAGAUCUGAGAGAAGACUACGGUACACUGAUCGCUCACCCUUGACAUGCACUGCAAGCAGCACAUACAGCAAACUCGAUCCACCACUCCUGACGCAGCUCUUAUCAGAAGCUCAGCUCCUUCUGCCUCCUUCGGCUCCUCCAUCCACGGUGGCACGUUCUUCAACGUUGCCACCACGUUACCGAACCCAUACCCUUGUUUCCCAAGCAAACUCGUUCUCAUGCUGUUGUUCCUCUGCAUCUGCUUGUGGAUUUGGUACGGUGGGUUCCUUAGAAUCUCUUUGAUUGAAACUGGUCUUGUUAUCGUCUUCUCUUCCUCGUCCUGCUUUAAAGAUAAAACCAUUUGUGUGUAUUCGCUUGGAAACCCUGUUUGUAUACUCAAUCUCAUCACCUGAUCAAGCAAGAAAAAAAUAUGAGGUUAGUUAAAAAGAAACAAGACCAACAAUGUCAAAUCAUGACCCCUAGUACAACAACCUUCUCUUCUAGCUCUUUCUUCUCUUCGAACCAAGCUCGAGCAGUGAGUUCAUUGAUUUGUCUCCUCGCAAGAACCUGUUUUUUAAAGGUUAACAAAGGAGCUUUGUUGUGUUCCUAACAUUUUCGAGAUUAUAUGAAAGUAAUUAGGUAACCUUGUCUAAAGGAAUGUCUUUAGCCUUCUGCACUGCUAACUCUAUUGUGAAACAGCUCAAAUCAGCCAGUGUGCCUCUGAGUUCAAUUUCAUCUGGAAACUCUCCUUUGUAUCUUCCAGACAAGAUCAACGGAUGACCGAGCGUAAUGUCUGGAACCUGAGAAGGAAACAGCUGCAGAAAACAAGGAAAGACAAGAAGAAGGUCAAGAAACAAAACUCAAGAACUUUAUAUGUUUCAGAAGUUGCAAAAUAAGUACCUCCACUGAGCGGAGGAGCUUGAGAGCAUCAAAAGUGGUAUUGGCUACGAUCGUUGAAGAAGCUAUAUCGAAUAGUAUACUCAUCUGAUGCUCAAAUGAAUCUGGCUAGGUGUAUUGUUAAUACAACAAAGCAAGAAAUGUUUUUAGCUUCUUGAUUCUGAAUUAGUACAGCUAUAUUCGAACGGAUUAAAACUAAAGGGGAUUACAAUCUACCUGUGUUGUUCGUGCCAUCAUAGUAACCAUUCCCUAUCCGCGCUAACAUUUGCAAGAAGUAAUGGUUGCAAAAUGAACCUGUGGAAUUGUUUAUAAUCAAGAUUUUGAUAUUAUAUAUUAUGAGAGAGUAAGCAAGAAAAAGCAGAGUAUUCAUUUUUACUUACCAAUACCAAAGGUAGAUAUUCGAGGAGAAAUCGAUUUUCCCUUUUUGCUACAACAUUCUUUCAUAGCAUUACAUAUCUCUCUCUCGUUUUCAACAGAUCCAUCAGUGACAAGAUACACAAGAGGAACUCCAAUAUUGCUUCCUUCAAGCAGUUUCAUUGCCUAAACACACAUAAAAGAGUCUGAGAAGUCUUGACUUAUGUGUUGAUAAAAAUAUCAGAUAGUAAUAGAGAUAUCUAGAGGAAGGACCUGUUUGAGGGGAAGUAACAUGUUUGUUCCACCAUUUGCAAUCAAAUUACUAUCAAGCCAUUCAGUCACAGCAGAGAUAGUUUCAUCUGUUGCAAACUCCAUUGAAGUUGAGAACUCGAGAAUCUCAUCGUUGAAGGCGAUUAUGUCGAAAACAUCUUCAGCUUGUAGCUUACCCAAACACUCUAACAAGGCUUUCUUCACAUCCUCUAGCGGCUUCCAUUUCAUGCUUGCACUUAUGUCAAUCACAAACACAACUCUUCGUUUGAAAAGCUGCAGAUAACAACAACAUUGAAUUGAUCAUGUGAUAGUUCAGCAGAAGAUUCAUAAUAGUUGCAGUAAGAACAAACCUGCUUAUGCUUGGUGGUUCCAGGGAAAAGGUACAAACAGAACGUUCCUCUGUCAUCUGAAUCCCAUGGAGAUGGAGACUUAACCAAAACAUUACCACUCAUAUCACCAGAGGAAACCUGUUAAACGAAAAACAAAGCUCCAUCUAAGGAUCAAGAAGAAGAAUACAAAAAUCCCUCAGAGAAUCAAGAAACCUCACAUUGAAUGAAACACUAAAAUCAGUCCUUGACCAAGAUGAUACUUCAGCUUCAUACUCACAACUUAAUUUACCAGCUUCACGGUGAAUCACCUGAGAAAGAUCAUCACACAUCACUCAAUCCACACAGUACCAAUCUGAAAAUAAACUGUUAACACGCAAUUAAAAUACCUUUAGAGGAUGGCUUGUAUAAUCACAAGCUACUUCGCCGCCACUAACACAAGAGUUCAUGUUCAACACAAUCUUCUCUCGUUUAAUAAUCUCUUUGCCAACAGGAACCACAUAAGCAGGGAAUCUAAAAGGCACAAUGAGAUGAAACUUGCCGUCUCUGUAAAUCAAUUUCUGAGACCAAUUCACAUUAACCGUAAAGAUCGAUCCUCCAUCAACCUAAUAAAUUAUCAACAACUUAUUUUUACCAUUAUUGAUAUAAUAUCAAAAUCCCGAAGAAAAUAGCUAUAAAAAGUGAGACAAAGAACAAACAUGUGGGAUCUUGAAAGUAUAGAUAUGGGACUUGAAGAAACGAGAAUCUUUGUCUUUAUGAACGUUUUCAAAGUCAGAAGUUUCGUCUUCGGUAACUAGUUUGGUCUUGUAAGAUUUCUCAUUGCUCAAAACAUCAAUCUCAGCACCUAGAAGUGAGCCCUGUUUACACACACAAAUGUGUUUCAGUUAUCCCCCAAAAAAAUAAAAAUAUCUGGAACAAUGCUAUUAAUGGAAAGAUAGAUAAAAGUAGUCUUUUCUUCUUGUUUGUCGUUUUGCUGUAAUGAAAUUACCUUCUCACCCAUGGGAACACCGACGCAGCAGUCAAAGCGUUUGCUAGGCAUAACACAGUGAACUCUCCACCGUCCAGUGACGGUGACGAACGCCGUGUCUAGCCAACAGUCCACUCUCAUCUCAACUCCGAGCAUCUGGAGCGGGACGAGCGCCGAAGGAUCGCAACGUGCGUGAACGUACGGCUGGUAGCUAGGAACGUCGGGGUUAUCAACAGCCACCGGAUCUGUGAUUGAAGCGUAAGCCGUGAUAGCUGUCGGAAGAAAAUUCUCCGGGGAAGAAGGAGGAUCCGGGACAACAGGAGGAGUGAUGCCUUUGCCGUAGUAUAUCCUUCUUGAGAGCUUGAGACCUUGUUCAACUCGUAUUGCGAACUCUUCCGACAUUUUUUUUUUUUUGUUUGUUUGGUCUCCGGCGAUGAUGAGACUGAGAUGGGAAGGAGGAGGUGAAAGCUGAGAGAUUUAUCAGGUCCGUGUUUAAAGGGGGAUUUAAAAAUCGGCCGGUGAAAGGAACGGCGAGAAAAAGAUUUUAAUUAAGUGGGAUUGUGUUACCCAAUGGCUUCAAUACACGUGUAAAGCAUCCCUACCGCCACGACAGUCACGGAUUUUUUAAUUUUAUUACAUAAAGUAUUUAAUUAUAUACUAUAUAGAGAUUAAUUGUUUUAAUUUGGUUCGUUAUGGAAUACUUAGAGAUUCUUUUCUUUUUUUUCUCCAACAUAUAGUAUAAAAUAGUUUUAACUUUAUACUCAAUAAUAGUAUUCAACUUUAAACACAAUAAUAGUUUUUGUUGUGGAAAAAACAAAGAAUAGCUAACAUUAUUUGGAUGUAUGUUUUUUUUUGUCAAUUUUGAGUUGGAAGUUGAAUGUAAGUUUUAGCUUCACAAUUACAUUUUCGACAAACUAAGAUGACAAAAAGGUUUACUUUGUGGUUUCAUUCAAUUUUUACUAAAUAGAAUGUGUUUCUGAUAUUAAAAAAAAAAAAAAAGUCUGUUAACACAUGUGCAUUGUUGAAUAUUAAAGAAUUUUAGUGUUCUGUGCUGGAAAAAUAAAAGACUGUUUCAACCAUUUUAUUGUUUAAGAAUUCAGUCUUUCAAAUCAAGAAAAAAAAAGAAAGAAGCAAACCAACAGUAGUUUUAUGAACAUUACUAUCAAUUGCUCUUCAUUGAUUAUGAUUCCUCCUCUGUCAGUAUAACUCAACCACUUUUUUCUUAUCUUAUUUUUCUACUUCUCAAUCAAAUCAAAGUGGUUUGAAUACUGUAGUAUUUUGUACAUUGAUGUUUCAAAUCAAGUGGUUUGAAUACAUAUCUAUCUUUUUUACUCCCAACAUUUUAAUUCUUUAAUAAACAGUAUGAUUAAUGUUCAAUUAGUAUAUGUUACUUUUAUAAUAAACCAAAAAACUUUUUUCAUUCCACGAUUUUUAGUUUCAAAUCUUGCUUAAUAAUUCCAUCAUCUUUUUAAGAAAAAUUACGAAUUUGUAAGUUUAUAAAAAAAAAAAAACGUUUGGCACGUUAGUCACUCCUAAAAAUGGCAAAAAAAUAUCCCACUACCAAUAGAUCUUAAUUAUUUUGUUUUUCAGUUUUAUGUUUUCCAAUGUAGAAUUUACAUAUAGGAAAGAUGUAGAUUCUAUAUACGUAUACGUAUUAGUGUGGAGUUGGCUUUUGGAUGUUUCGGCUACCACACCAAAAUUAUCUAUAAACUUUUAUUCUAUGUAUAAGAAAUUGAUUGUGUAUAUAUCAUUUGACUACUACGUACAUAUAUCACUUUAUUUCGAUAAAUGAAUAAUGUAAGAAGAAAAAAACAGCUCUACAGAAAUCUCCGGCUCCACGUUGAGACCGGACCACGAUCGAUUACUCUCAAACGUAUAAAUUCGACGAACCAUAUCACUAGACAUGUAGGCCAUGUAACCAUUAAAUUACAAUUAUUACAUACAAAAAACAAAUCAACUUUAUAUCGAUUUUAUUCGUAUAUUCUGAUUUCUAGCUGCCUGUGAGUAAAUUAUAUGGGAUGCCUAAAAGAAAUACUACGAACAUAUGGUUAUUAUUACUCGUUACUCGUUAGCGUAUACUAUAAUAUAUAUAUCUUUGUUAGUGAUCAUUUAAUUGUCACAUUACUACUAAUCAAAAGUAUUGGUACAAAAUAGAUUCGUUAAAAAUACAAGUAAGUAAUUGAUAAUUAGCUGAGUAAAAGCUGAUUUUAACGGAUUGUUGUCUGCCAUGCUUUCCAUUUAGUAAUGCGAAUUAAUUAAAAUUGGGCAAAACUUUUUUAAUUACUCAAUAUUUUUUUUAGGUUUUGGUCCACUAAAGAUUUGAGAGACAACCCUACCUUAUUUAUAAAAUAAUGAAGUUGUAACCACUAACUUUUCGGCGUCGGGCCAACCAUUCCAUAACACUACUGCUGAGUGCUGCUGACAUUUCAUUUUAUUUAUUUAUUUUCCUACGUUAUGAUAUUAUUAUCAAAUUUUGUUUUGUUAUUUUCUUUCUGAUAUUCCAAGUCAAUAAGUUAUAAUAACAUUUUUAUUUUCAACUAUAUGUGUCAUCGAUCGGAAUAAAAUAGACUUGAAGCAAUCUUUGUUUAUUUAAAUCGUUUGUAUAUUGUCUUACUAAUCACUUCCCUAAUUGACAAGGUGAGUACAAUCAUUGGAAAACGACAUGAAUGUACGUGUCUGUCAUGACCAACUCAAUAUAAUUGUUUCGGAAAAAAAAUAAUAUUACCUAAUUUAAAAAUGAUUUAUGCUUUUGUAAGUAUUAAUAAUAAGUUUAUAUUCCCUCUAAAGUAUCAACAAUUAAUGUUUUACAAGUAUACUUUUUUUAUUGCUAGUCUAUGUUUAUAGUUUGUUCGUGUUUUCAUCUACAGCUUACGUAUCAUAAUAUCUGAUUUUCUGAAAUAAAAGAAUAUAAAGACACUAUUUAGCAAAAAAAAGAAAGAAUAUAAAGACACUAUAUACUCGUAUUUCGAUAUCAACACUAAGCAGAUAAUAGUAGUAGCUAACAUAUAAAACAACAACAACAUAUAAUAUUCUCUAAUCUGGCUCUCAGAGGCUCACACUUUUAACUGGGCCUUUACCGUUUAAAUGGGUCAAAUUAUCAGACCAAAUUGAGGCCCGUAAUACAUAUCAACUGGGACUUCAGUGUUUCCUUUCUCUUUACUACCAUUCAAAUGUUUAGGUUUCUGAAUCUAUAAACUGAUACGUCUUUUUGUAGAAGCCAAAGAGAUUGAGAUGGGUGUUUAGGAGACUGAAACUGAGACAGCAGAUUGCAACUUGUGGGCAAGAGACAAGGACUUUGAACGAAGCAACACAGGAUCAGAGAAAGCAUGCUGUGAUUCUGUGAAUGUAGCCAUUGCCACGGCUGUUGCAGCUGAGGUUUUCUGGAUGGCCGGUAACGCCUUCAAGAAGCGUUAUCCUGAUUUGGCUGCAAUCAAAAUUCAAAGUGCCUCCAGGGCUUACCUGGUCAGACACUCUCUACUUUAAAGCAUCCUAGUUUCUGUUUUAAGCUGUCUUUCAUGCAGUGUUUGAUCUUGUGACUGAUUACUAAACAGGCCAGGAAAGCGUUGCGGGCACUGAUGGCACUCGUAAGGCUUCAAGAAAUUGUCUGUGGCCGAGCUGUUAGGCGAAAGUUUUCUGCUUUAUUGAAAUCUUCACCCUCCAACAAAGCUUAAACAUCAAGCAUCAUCAAGAGAACACACAGAGAGAAAGCAUUGGUCCAACAUAAGAUCAUUUGACAGACUUGGUAAAGUUGAACGGGACCAUGACCUGCAUAUUAUUUCAUUAGCUAAAACAGACAUGAGUAACAUGUUCCUAUCUCAGUCCAGGAAUAUCUGUGAAGUUUGAAACACAGACCAUAUUAAUUCCAACUUGAAUUGCAGCUCGGGCAGAAGCUGUGUAGUUUGUAUGCCGUGGUGAGGAAAUCUUAUCAACUCUUUGCCAAUCCGAAAUGACAAAAACCUGCACAUAUCAUAAUAAAGUCCUUGACCUAAGAAUCUACACAUGCUCUAAAAAAAAGUUAUAAACACGACUCUACAAAAUACAUUAAGAAAGAGCAUUUAUUCAUUCAGAAAGACUACUGCCAGAAGACAGAGAUAUGAAGAGUACCAGAUUUAGAAGACUUUGGCAGAAGGUGAGAACUAAUAAGAUCUAGAAUACAGAAUGUGUAUGGAAUUCCAGUGGCUCUGACUUCGACUGCAGUAGCUGCUCCAAUCCUCUAAACCAGAUCAGGAUUCCUGUGAAGCUCAUUAGAAAAGAGUUCAGCAUUUAAAGUGGCACUCAUGAGAAUCAAUCUCAGAUCUGGACACCGUGGAAGAAGCUCUUUAACACUAUAAUUUAAGAAAUCUGCAACCAAGAAGUGAGGGGAUAAACAAUUAUGAUACUUGAUUUGCAGAAACCUAAACAAACAUAGAUAUAUAGAAUACGUACCUUCGGUUAACUCCAGUUUCAUCAAAUAAAGCUUAAGCAUAUUGGCUAACCGUUUCACCAAGAGGUUCUUCUCAGCUGACACUCUUUCUGAAACUGCCAUGGCAAAAAGAAAAACGAUUCUUUAAUAAAAAAAUCUUUGAUGAAAAGAUAAGAGGAGCGAAGUAAAGGUGAUGCAGUAAUACCUGCCAUCGGCAUACUUCUCCUCUGAAGUACAUUCUCCAUAACAUAACCAUCAAGAAAUGCAUCCGAACUUUCAUCCGGAAGUUCUUCUGAUACAUUAACCUUUUGGACUCCAUAAUACACAAAGGGCAGAACAAUUUAGCUAACACAAAAGUUGGUACCCAUCCACCUCCUUUCCAGGCUACACACGUACCUUCAAGAAACAUUUCCAAACUUAGUGUACCAAACUAUUAAAAAUUAUAUGGUUAGUUAAUUUCAAAUUUCCUAAGUGUAUCAAAUCUUGAAACUUACAAGUUCCUUUCAUAGGAAGCAGUGAGGAUUUCUUUGGACAUGAGCUCCAAUCUAUUACAAAACAACUUUGGCCAUGCUGCAGCAAUUCAAACAAUCAUCACUGUAAGGGAUAAUUAAGUUAGGAUCUGAUAUCGUUAAACCAUUAAGCUAUAAUAAGUCUGUACAAUUAGGAUCUGAUACAUUUACCUUUUGACCUCCAUAGGACACAAAACGCAGCACAAUUUAGCGAACACGAGAGUUUCUAUCCAUUCAACUCUUUUCCAGGCUCAACACAAACCUUCAAGAAACAUUCCAAACUCAGUUUACCAAACUAUAAAAAUUAUAUGCUUAUUUAAUGUUCAUUUUCCACUAAGUCUAUCAAAGCUUGAAACUAACAAGUUCCUGUCAUGGGAAGCAGUGACGAUUUUGUUGGACUUUGAGCUCCAAUAUAUCACAGAAACAACUUGUCUAUGCUACAGCUAUUCAAACAAUGAUUGCUGUAAGGGAGAAUAUAUUAGGAUAUGAUCUGAUACAAAAAUGCUAAAAUAAUUCAGUACAUUUAGGAUAUGAUACAUAUACCUUUUGGACUCCAUAGAACAGAAAGGGCAGCGCGAUUUAGCUAACACGGGAGUUGGUACCCCUAUCACCUCCUUCCAGACUCCACACAAACCUUCAAGAAACAUUCCAAACUCAGUUUACCAAACUAUACAAAACAUAUGUUUAGUUAAUUUAAAACAAAGCUUGAAACUUACAAGUUUUUGUCACGGGAAGCAGUGACGAUUUUGUUGGACUUUGAGCUCCAAUCUAUUACAAAAACAACUUGGCUAUGCUGGAGCGAUUCAAACAAUGAUCAAACAAUGAUCACUUGGAAAUAUCUAUUAAAAAAAGGAAAACCCUUUGAUCAAAAAAAAAAAAAAAGGAAAACCCAAAAACGUUUUUUCCUUUUUCUUAAAUCCACGCGCGUAACAAAUAUGGAAAAGUGGAAAUUUUCCUUUUCUUAUUAUUAGUAUUUUUUUAACUAUGAUUUUUCUAUUUUUGCGUUUUAUUAUUUAUUGGAUGCCACUUAAAUAAUAUGAUGUAUCAUUUCUCUUGCAACUAUGUAAAAUCAAAUUGUUUGACGGUAAAUUUGGUAUAUUAUUCUUGUAAAUAUUUAGCUUUUUUUUUUUUUUUUGCUUCUCUUAUGGACUAAAAGCAUAUGUGUGUUUAUGCUAGAACUUGGAAGUGUGUGUGUGUGUGGGGAUGGCCCUUUCCCCUUCACUUCCGGAACUUUUUUUCUUCUUCUUCAGGCAGAUUAUUAUUAUGCAUCCUAUCCUAAGUCAAGUCACGUCAAUGUCGACUUUUACAUGUGUAUUACGUGUAAUAUCUGUUUUUAUUUUCUGUAAACUAUUGUAUUAUGCAUUCCAGACCUUUGGAGUUGACCUAUUUUACAUUACACUAAAUAAAAAUCGGCCAGACUUACUCCAUGGAAUACCCAAACUCUAUGUUCUUUAAUAUCAAUGUCGCUACUUCUUCGUCAUUGAACCAUAGAGAAACAUUCCUAAUUCUGUUAUGUAUAUAAAAUGUGGAAACCAUAUAUAUAAUGUACUUAUUAUGAAAUGCUGAAAAGCCACAAUUUUCCGAAAUCAAGGACACAUCCACGACGAAUCUGUCUCUCUUUAAAAUUUUGAGUUAAUGAACCUAAAUACCAGUACAUCAAUCUAUCAUCCACGUGAAACACACUUUGAAGAUUUCCCAACCGAUGAUGUGAACGCUUUUAGUGUGACGGCCGGCUUCAUAAUUGACAUUUACAAUUAUAUGUUAAUGUUGUAUAUACUAAUACUAUUAUAUGUAUGCUUUGCAUUUGCAUAUAGGAUUCUAAACUGGACUAAAGUUAACGUGAAAGAUCUUACAGUUCAUAAAUUUAAAGACAUGUUUUCUAGUAUAUAUAUGGACGCUAAGAAUAAACAAAUAUAUACCUAAAUCAUCAAUCGUCUACGCUAUGUUAUAAUGAAACACAUUGGUGGCUUUAUAGUUAGUAACUUAGUAUUACAAAUUACAAUUACAAUUCCAAUGAACCUAACAAUAAAAAAAAGCAUAUGCUACUACUCGUCAUUUAGUAAACCUAUACAAUAUUACGGAAUUCUGCUUUUGUUUGUGUUAUUAUAAAAACUUAAUUGUUAUUAUUAUUAUUAUACAUGACGAUAAGAAUAAAAUUAAAUUUUUUGUUUGUUUAACUUUGUUUUUGAUGAAUCACUUUUUAUGUUCUCCUAUAGGGCAUUUUGGCUAUUUCUAUAUAUAUUCAGUUGCUUCGCAAUACAUAUUCGUCAAUCUGUUGCUUUUCUUUUGUCAACGUCGAUCUAUAUUGCUUCUUCUGUAUCAAAUGGAGUAUAAAAAAAAAAAUUAAAGUCUCAACCAAAAAUAAUAAUAAUAAUCAAAGUGACAAGAAAAUUAUAUAUUUUUAUAAACAAAAAGAAUGCAAGUUGCUAUUUCGUGAUUGGCCAGAAGGGUUUAUAUUGGAUCUAUAGGGAAUCGCCAACAAGGCAUAUCCCUUUCAUUUAAUUAUUCCACGCAAUCAUUCAACUAAAAAUUAUGAUUUAUAUACGUGGCCAUGAUAUGUAUCACACUAUACCUUUUCAUUAUUUAUAAAAUAGAAAAUAGCUUUUUAGUUGUUUUUUUCCCAAAACCCAAGCAUUAGAACUUAAUUUUAUUUUGAAACUGAGAAUUUAAUGUAAUGAUCCAUUUUGUGAGUUUUUAAAAGUCCAAAUCAGGCAGUAAACUCUGUUUAAGUUAGAGUUAAUGACAUGUCUUUCUAAUAUCGAAAUUCUAUAGUAGUAUAGUAAUAAAUUAUUACUCCUUGGAAUAUAUAUUUGGUUCUUCAAAAAAUCAUAAUUGUAUCUAAUCAAAUAAUUGGCAACUGUAUUGUAGACACCGCAUUUAACUAUUGGCAAACAGAGAUAUAUGUAUAUGAACCCAAAAAAAAAAAAAAAAAAUUAAGCACAAUUAACACGUACAAUUAUUAGAGAUUUUGACUUGGUCGUAUUAGAAUAGCAAGUUUCACCUAAUUUAAUAUACUUUCUUUCACAAUCACAAACACUAUAUACUGUAUCAUUUUCAAAAAUUGCAAAAACUAAAAACAAAGUUUGCUAAAAUCGGAAAAAUAUUAAGAUACAUAAAUGUUGUUAUUUUGAUACAUAAGCAAAAUGAAUGCCGUGAUUAACUAUGGUGUUGCCGUGAUUAAUAAAAUAAUAUUAAAUAUGUAGUUUAGGAUUGGUGUCAUAGACGACGUGGCGAUGCCUGAUUAGCUAAAUAAGUCAAAUGAAACCAAACCGAAACGGCUGAAAGUAAAAAAAAUAAUUGUUUUUUUUUGUGUGAAUAUGUUUGGAGAAAAGGUCGGUUUCUUCGCCAGCUGGCCUAGUUCCCAGAUCGACGGUGAAGAUUCAAAGUUGUCAGAAAUUUUAUUAUCCGACGUGGCUUAUAGUGUUUUUAUUUCCUCUGUUAAUUUUCCAUAACCCUUUAUAACACCAAUCAUUGCUUCUCCUUCGCCUGCACAUUCUCUCUCUCUCUCUCUCAUUCUCUCUUCAUAAUUCAUAUAUUUCCCAAUUCUUACCUUUUUUUUUUCCUUUCUGAAACGAGUUUUUGGUGAACUAAAAGGGUAAAUUUUUCCUAAUUUUGAUAUCAACAGAAGCCAGAAAAAAAAAAAAGAGACAGAUUCUAUAUUUUGUGUGUGUUUUUUGUGUGAUUAACUCUGUGUUUACAAUGGUUUUGUUUUGUGAAAUUUUUCUCGGAGAAGAAGGGAAUUUAGAAGACGGAGAGUGGAAAAACGAGUUAUAAUCCGUAGCAAACAUAAGAAACAAAAACAAAAAAAGUUUUUUUUUACUUUUUAAAAGUUUCUCCUCUGUUUCAGAAACAGAGACAAAUCAAGAAGAUCACUAGCAAAAACUUGCGUUGUCUUUCUCAUCUCCUUCCACUGGUAAAGUUUCUCUUCUUGAUCUGUUUCUAGUUUUGAGUUGAAGUUGGGAUCGGUUUGUUGAUUAAAUUCUCUCAACAGGGUUUUGUUUUUUCAAAAUCUAAGAAACCAUGUCGGCGAGUGUACUAAGUGAUCCAACAAUGCUAAUUUCAACACCAGAAGCAAUCAUCGUCUCGCCGGCGCCGGUGACACAGAUAUCCGGCGACGAGCCAGAGCCGGUGACGUGUGAGUGCUGCGGAUUAACCGAGGAGUGCACACAGUCGUACACAGAGAUGAUCAAAGAGCGUUACAUGGGUAAAUGGAUCUGUGGGCUCUGUUCGGAAGCAGUCAAGUACGAAGUCAUAAGAACGAAACGAUUCGUAACAACGGAAGAAGCUAUGGCAAGACACAUGAACAUGUGUAACAAGUUCAAAUCAUCAAGCCCACCUCCUAACCCGACAGGGCAUUUGAUCUCUGCCAUGAGACAGAUCUUGAGAAGAAGCUUAGAUUCGCCAAGAAUGCUUAGAUCCAUGCCUAGUAGUCCUUCCAAAGACGACGACCAAGAUCACCAUGAUUGUGUUACUUCUAAUGUUUUGUCUAGGUCUGAUAGCUGUUUCGCUAGUUUGACAUAAACAUAAGAAAAGCUCAUCGUUGAAUAAUUAAACCGUCGGUUUAGGGACCCACCUGGAUUAAAUCCGGUUUUCAGAUUUGUAUAAAUUUCGUCGGUAAACCAAAAUCGGUCACUGUAUGUGUUUUCUUUUUUUGCCGGAUUUAUUGUACCUUGUGGAAAAAUUUUGGGCUUAUACAACAACACUUGUUGAUAUGUUCCUUUCUCUUAUUCUUUCACCAAUUUGCUAAUAACUUAAGAAAAGUUAAACAAGAACAAAAUAAAAGAAAGAUAUGGUUUAUACUAUUCGAUUAGAGUUAUAUGAUUAAAAGAAGGAAAAGGAGAUUCUUGGAGCAAUUUAUCAUAUAGAAUAAUGGAAGUGACAUGUAUGAACAAAAACAAUCCAAGGUAGGGACGUUGCUUAUCUCUGUGAUGAUUUCUCUAUCACAUAAUGGAAAUGAAAAUGGUGCUUUUUUACGCCAUUAAUUAGACAUCACUUUUAUUUUAAUUUAUUUCCUUGCUUUUUUUCCUAGUUUAUUUUCUAAUCAUUCUUCAAAAACGUUAUUUUUUAAAAUUCAAAUGACUCUAUAUAUUGUAACGCAUGAAUAAGUAACAUGUACGUAGAAACGUUUAAUUGGGAUAUGUUUACUCGAUUAAAAACAAAAGAUUAGAUGGGUUGGUUGUCCAAUAUUCACUAACUCUCGAUAUAUAUAGUUUAUAAUAAUUUGGAAUAUAUUCUAUUUCUGAUAAAAACAAGAACUAGGAAUCCUAUUUGAGCAUAAUUGUAACGUGUAAGCACUCACAACUGGCUAAACUACAUUGAUUCGACGAUUGAUUCGAUAUUAAAUUUCGACUACUUAACCAAUAACAUUUCCUUCAACUUGCUAUGUAUCUCCUUAGAAUAUAAUCAAAGAGAAAUUGUAUCAUGGAAGCUGGAAGUGUUCGUUUUAAGGGAUCACAUGCGAGAUAUAAGUAUACGACAUACACAAUACAAGUUUCUAUUUAUGUGUAUUGAAAGUUAACAAUGAAUUUAUCCACAGCGAAAAUUUAAACUCGAAGUUUCAUUUUCUAGGUUCCUAGGUUAGAAAUAUCAAUAUGCAUUUGUUGCGUAUCGAUCAUAUAUAUGCCACGGGUCAACUUACCACUCUUUUGCCUAUUUUCAAAUCAAGUCAAUCGAUGUGUUGUUCUACUUGCUAGAGAGAAUUAUCUUAGGAGUUUAGUCGUUUACUUUCGUUCUGUUGGAACAUAUGUAAGGUAUGCUUUUCACUUAUUAUUAGAUGACACUUUCUAUUAAUGUGGUGUGUGUGUUUGAUAUAUAGAGCUCGAAACAUGUAUCUGACGUGACAAGCAAUAGUCAAAGAUAAAGAGAACUUGAAGUAAUGGUUACAAGUUACAAGGCACAACAACAGGACAGGAGAGAUGCGGCACGAGCAGAUGUGGCAAUUAGAGUUGUGCUGAACGCGAAAGCGUUUUCAAAAGAUACAAAACCUAAAUAUGCACUAACAUCACUUAUAAAAAAGUAACAAGUUCGAGAUGGUUCAAGUACGCAGAGCUAGCUAGUACUUGGGAUUAAGAGUUGAAUUCUAUUAAAAGUGCAUAGUUUUCAAAUUAUUUAUAUUUCUUAACAUCCGGCAAAUUUUAUAGUUUGCAAUUCUUUCUUACCUUAAUAUAUAAAUGGUAGUGCUCAUAGACCAUGAAGAAAUAUAGCAAACGUCCUACGGGCUCUGGACUUAUAGCCAAGUACCAACACGCGUAAGUCAUGUUAUGCAUGGCUAACGGAUAGCCCUUAACCAACACGCGUAUGGAAAAGAGAAAUUACAGAGAUUCACUGAAACGAGAACAACAUUUAUAUAAUAACGAGAAUACAACUAGAAACACAUAAAUAGUAUUAAAUUGCAAUACCGGAAACUAAUCAUAAACUUUCAAUGAACUGCUCAAUAAAUAAAGAGAUUUUGGAUGGUACGUUUUUCGUGAUGAUACAAAUUGAUACACUCAUAAAAGAUUUCACUAGGUUAUUUACGAUUAUACAAGACAAUUAAAGAGAUAUGAUGGUAAAGGAAUCUGUGAAGAAAAAAGUCUUUCAUUUUAUGUUUUGUUUCAGUUUAUUACAGAAGUUGGAUUUGAGGCUUAGAGCUAAUACGCAAAGUCGGGGAUCAUAAAAACGGACCGAAAGAACUUAGAGCUAAUAAGGAGACAACGUGUGGCUUUAAACCUACAUCUUGGAAGUCUUCAUCACCGACUCACCGAGGGUAGUGUAGUACAAAUAUGUCACUAGUUACCAAUUUAUUUCUUUCGGCUAGCUCAGUUUGUUUUUGAGCAUACUCUUCUUGGACGGUGCCACAUUGCCACUCGAAGCGUAAUGUUUUUUCAAUCCCUGGUUUGCUGGUAGGAGAACGUUAACUUUUAAGAAAUCAAUACUUAGUUCUUUUAAGACACAUCAAAAUAGACUAGACGAUAUUUUUUCCAAUUUUGUUAGACAUUUUUCAGUUUUGUUAGAUAUAUUAGUUUUACCAUAUAAGACGAUAUGAUCGGUUCAAUAGGGUUGAGCUAGUUCAAUUCUAUCGUUUCCAGUUUAUAUUUCUUGUAAAUAUUAUGAAUAACAGACAAAUAUAAGCUACUUUUUCUUAUGAAAAAAAAAACAUAUAUCUUUUUUGACUCCGCAAAAAAUUAGUUCGAGCUUUAUGUAGUAUAAGAAAAAUAAAGGACUCGAUCGUGCGUGGCCCAUAUAUAAAUACGUCCACGAAAAUGUGUGGCGGAUAAGAGUCUCGCAUUUAUAUUUCACAUGCUAGCGCUUGCACCCUUUUUUUGUGUUUAAACUUUAAUUUGAAAAUUUACAAGAACAAAAAUAAAACAAUUUGAACACCAAUGGUCUUUGCCAUUGAAACUUAUAGCUGUAACUGUAAGGAGAGUCGAAAUGAAAUAUUAUUCAAACGUGUCAUGAUAUAUUAUUCAAAGAAUCAAAGGUAACCCGUACGUUAAUUGUCAAACUAGCUAGAGACAGCGUAUGUGUUAUACAAAAAAUAUAUUGAUAUCCAGCUCUCUUUUUUUUUUGUCUGUGUUUUCAACUCAUAUUUUCAUAUUUUUAUAUAUGUUUGACUUUGUUCCGCCUGUCUGCGGAUUAUAAUUUCCUUGAAGUCGUAUGGACUGAGUAGCAUGGCUUUGUUUACGAAGCCGGAGACAAAGCCUUGAGAGUUAACCAUUAUAAUAUAAUACGACCAUGCUCCCGCUACAUCCAACAGAAUAAUUGGUCACUGGGAUUUCAAUUAUAAUUUUAACGCGACUAGUUCAAUAUUGUUUUAGUUAAUGCCGAAUUCUUAGACUACCAAAAAACAAGUUACGUUGAAAAACUAUUUCCAUUUCCACUAUAUUUAUUAGAUCAUCAUAGGACAUGUAUAUACUAUCUAAUUAGGUGUGAAUUAAUAUGGCGUCCAAGACUAAUAAGUUAAUCUAGUCGUAUACUUGUAUAAGUUUAAAACCUUUUAACGAAGUUUCAAGAGGCGGCGCGUGGCCAACUUCCUCUACCAAAAUGGUGGCUAUGACGACCUUAUUCUUAUUCUCCUUCCUUGAAUACUCUACAAAGAAAAUAUUAUCCCUUCUUAAAAAUUUGAACGUUGGUUAAGUUAUACAGAAUCUUAAAGUUCAACAUUCGUUAUAAACUAUAAAUUAUGCAUAGAUAUGUGUUUGCUUAUGUGUUUUGUUAAUCUCUUAUUACAAGAAUUAGAUACCGUGCAUGAUUAGUUAAAAUUAAUAGGAGAAAUUAAUCAAAAGAAGAGAAGAGAUCUAGGAUUAACGAGCCAGCCAGCUAUAGAUGAAAACGAACUGAAGUUGAACUUUUGAAACGUCCUCUUGCAUGCAUGUAUAUAUCAUGUAUGCCAGCUUAAUUAGUUUUAUAAUUUAUGAAGACGAUCGGUACAUGCAUGACGAAUAUAACUUUUGAUUUUGAUAAGUGCUUGCGUGCGGACAUGCAUAUCGACAGUUUGUGGAUAAUAAACCAAAUUAUAGCUUCGGAUCAGAGAGAAAUUUAUGAAACAAAUGGAUGUUAAAAAUUGAGUACAUACACAGUAGUAAUCUUAACUAAACGAUGUAUUAAACGCAUGUUAAAAAAUUCCGAUAUAAAUGAUUCUAAAUAAGAAAUAUGAGCUCGAUAAUUAUUUUAUUUUCCACAUGAUAGUAUAUAUGUCCGGGACAUGUUCAACUUUCUUUGAUGGAGCGCAAGAUAUCAUAUAUAAUUACCAUUUCAGGUUACUUUUAGAAUUAUUUCGUUGUAAUUAUUUUAUACAAUAAUAUUUUCUCAUGGAGUAUAUAUAAUAAAUCCACAGUUUCAUUAAAACGAUCACAAACCGAUCUUCAAAGUCCGAUGCUCGAAUUAUUUUAUUUACUUCACUUGUGUUGUGUGUUUUUUGUUUUUAUAUAAAUAUAAAUAAAGUAAAGGGAUAUGUAAACUUUAUUUGACGAGCCUUGCCUCCUUGGGAUAUAUCAAUCACCAUUUCAGGAAAGACUAAGGACAAUACUGUCAUUUAAUAUUUAUUAACUUCCUCCUUUGCUUCCUUUUAACCCUUUUUAAGACGCGUUCGUCUCUGACUCGGAACUCAGUUUGACUUAAUUAGCGUAUCAUUUUUUUUGUUAAGCUUUUUUUUUUUAGUAUAAAUAAAAAAUACACUUGCAACUUUUUUUUUUUUUGGGUUAAAAGUCCUUCUUUGCAACUGAAAAAAAAAACUUUUGUAAAAUUUCUGUGAUGCAAGUCAUAUUUUUUCGGAGGUGUCAAUAAUUCACUUUUUUUUUCCUUUUGUAUUUAGUGAAAGUGUUGAAAGUUAUCUAAUGUUGAACAUUGAAGUGUCCUUAUUGUUCAUAAAAAGAAAAUCUAAGAACAAGUUUAGUUUUGAAUAGUUAUCUUCGUGUUUCAAAUAUUUUGUUACUAAUAAUAGACGAAUAAAAAUAUGAUUUGACGAAAGGAAAGAAGACAAGUAACUCGGAAUAUUCCAAUUAAAAAAACGUGUGGACGGCGACAAAGCUCUCUUUCCUUUUGGUCUCUCUUAUCAGUCGCAUAAUAUAAAUAGCUGUGACCUGCCGCUUCUUUAGUAAUCAGAACGCACCAAAUAAAUAAAGAAGAAAAGCUCUCAAACUCAUUCUUUGAAAGCCUUUCUUUAUAUAUUUCUUUUUCUACCAGCUCAUUCAACUAAACACUCAGCUUUAUAGAUUAGUUAGUUCUACUAAUUAAUUUCAUUUGUUUAAAAUGGCCUUAGCUAAUGAGUUAAUGGGUUCUCGUCUCAUUUUCGAGAGAUCGUCACUUCCGUUUCAACCGCGUUUCUCCACCAAGAAGAGGACACAGAGGACGCACUUCUCCAUCAACCCUUUUGAUCCGAGACCGAUGAGAGCUGCUAACUCAGGUAGCAUCGUGGCCGCCAUCAGCGAGGAUUUGGUUAAAACGCUGCGUAUUAACACCGUCGGUAGGAAACAGGAGAAGGAUGAAAAUAAGGAGGAGGAGAAGACGGUCAAGUUUAAGGUGAGAGCUGUUGCGACGGUGAGGAACAAGAACAAAGAGGACUUUAAAGAAACUUUGGUUAAGCAUUUGGAUGCUUUUACUGAUAAAAUCGGUAGAAACGUCGUCUUGGAGCUUAUUAGCACCCAAGUUGACCCAAGUAAGUCAUUUAAAAAAAAAAAAUGAAAAACAAUUUUCAUUUUUGAGUAUUUUUUAAAUCUUGUAAGGUCAAAGUUUGAUUUUUUUUUGUUUUCUUGGACUAAUUUACCCAAAAAAAUUGUCAAACUUUGUAACAGAAACGAAUGAGCCAAAGAAGAGUAAAGCCGCGGUAUUGAAAGACUGGUCAAAGAAAUCGAAUUCAAAGGCGGAGAAAGUCCAUUACACAGCGGAGUUCACGGUUGACUCCGCCUUUGGUUGUCCGGGAGCCAUCACGGUGAGCAACAAACACCAAAAAGAGUUCUUCCUUGAGAGCAUCACCAUCGAAGGUUUCGCAUGUGGCCCUGUUCACUUCCCCUGCAACUCUUGGGUCCAAUCCCUAAAAGACCAUCCAUCCAAACGAAUUUUCUUCACUAAUCAGGUAACUAAUUCAAUCUUAAUUAAAACGCAUUAAAUGUGAUCGUAGAUAUCAUCAUAUCAUGGUGGGUCCAAAUGUCCAAAUAUUGUCUUUAAUUAAACAAAUGUGACGUCCAACUAUAUAUUGUUUGGAUAAAAAAAUUAACUGUUGUUUGAAUUUUCCGCAGCCGUACUUGCCGAACGAGACACCUUCGGGUCUACAAAAAUUAAGGGAGAAGGAGUUGGAGAGUCUAAGAGGAAAUGGGAAAGGAGAGAGGAAACUAUCAGACAGAAUCUAUGAUUAUGAUGUCUACAACGACAUUGGGAACCCAGACAUAUCUUCUGAACUAUCCCGUCCCACAUUUGGCGGUCGUAAGUUUCCUUACCCUAGACGCUGUCGAACCGGCCGGCCUUCUACAGACACGGAUCUGAUGUCCGAGAGACGGGUGGAGAAACCGUUACCGAUGUAUGUGCCAAGGGAUGAGCAGUUCGAAGAGUCUAAGCAGAACACCUUUGCUGCGUGUAGACUCAAGGCUGUUUUACACAACCUUAUACCUUCUUUAAAAGCUAGCAUCUUGGCUGAGGACUUCGCUAACUUCGGUGAGAUCGAUAGUCUAUACAAAGAAGGCUUACUUCUCAAGUUAGGGUUUGAAGAUGAUAUGUUCAAGAAGUUCCCUUUGCCUAAGAUCGUCACUACCCUCCAAAAAUCUAGCGAAGGAUUGCUUAGAUACGACACUCCUAAAAUAGUUUCAAGUAAGCACAUUUUUAAUUACUUCUGACAACUUUUUAAUUAUACGUCAUUAACUCGUUUAUCUACAUGAUACUACGAGGUUCGUAAGUUUAACACAUGUGCAAUCACAUGCCGUUGAAGAACCAAUCAUUACCAAUUUUUCACCUUUAUUUUAUGGUUUGCUAUAUAACCAACAGUGAAGUGAAGCUUCCCCUCUUAGAUUCCCUUUGUUCAAGAAAUAUGAUUCACGUGCUUAAUUCGUUUGUUUAUUUGUUCUUCCCACUAAACGUUAAAUUUCGCUAUAGUGGUGGUAGUUACAGUUAGUUUGGGGAUAAUUAAUUAAAAGCGUGUUUUUGUUUUAUGCUUACUUGAAUCAUGUAGUUUAAAGAAAUUAUCUAAUGACUCUUUUUUUUACUUUAAUAUAGAGGAUAAAUACGCGUGGCUUAGAGAUGACGAGUUCGCACGCCAAGCCUUAGCUGGGAUCAACCCGGUCAACAUAGAACGAGUCACGACUUACCCACCGGUCAGCAACCUUGACCACGAAAUCUAUGGACCUGGUCUUCACUCCGCUCUCACCGAAGACCACAUCAUCGGUCACCUUGACGGCUUAUCCGUACAACAAGUACGUAUAUUUAUAUGAUCUCAAUAACUCUCACAACAUUUACAAAUAUUUAAAUUACUGAUUUUAAUCUUUCUUUUUAACUGAACUUUAGGCGGUGGAGACGAACCGUUUGUUUAUGGUGGACUACCAUGACAUAUACUUACCAUUUCUAGACCAAAUCAACGCGCUUGAUGGACGUAAGGCUUACGCGACUAGAACCAUAAUGUUCUUGACCCGUCUCGGUACACUCAAGCCUAUAGCCAUUGAGCUUAGCCUUCCUCCACAAUCAGGCUCAACCCGAAAGUCCAAGCGCGUGGUCACACCUCCUGUAGACGCAACCUCCAACUGGAUGUGGCAGCUAGCCAAGGCCCACGUUGGGUCCAACGACGCUGGUGUCCACCAGCUUGUGAACCAUUGGUUACGUACACAUGCGUGUCUGGAGCCGUUUAUAUUAGCUGCUCAUAGACAGUUGAGCGCAAUGCAUCCGAUAUUCAAGUUAUUAGACCCUCACAUGAGGUACACUUUAGAAAUCAAUGCCGUCGCACGACAAACUUUGAUCAGUGCGGACGGUGUGAUUGAACAAUGCUUCACAGCUGGUCAAUACGGUCUAGAGAUUAGCUCCGCUGCUUAUAAGAACAAAUGGCGGUUCGAUAUGGAAGGUCUCCCUGCUGAUCUCAUCCGAAGGUAAUGUCUCAUUACUCUUGAAAAUGCACUAAACUAAUUGUUAAGUACCUCAAUUUAUAACAUACUGUUACACUAAAUGUCUAAAUCUAACGAAACUCAUAAUACUGUAGAGGGUAUAGUAAUAAACUAAUAAUGGAUAUAAUAUAGUAGUACUAGUAAAAUAGAUAUUUUAUUGUCUGGUUAAAUUUGGUUUUUUCCUAUUUUGUUUUCAUAUAAAAAUUGUUGUAUAGAAUCUAACUUUUUUUUUUUUUUUAAUUAUUAAUUUUCAGGGGAAUGGCUGUUCCUGAUCCAACAGAACCACAUGGUUUGAAAUUACUUGUCGAAGACUACCCAUACGCCAACGAUGGUCUCUUAUUAUGGUCAGCAAUCCAAACUUGGGUCCGAACCUACGUGGAACGUUAUUACCCAAACUCGAACUUAAUCCAAAACGAUUCAGAGCUCCAAGCCUGGUACUCAGAAUCUAUCAACGUAGGCCACGCCGACCACCGCGACGCCGAGUGGUGGCCGAAGCUUUCCACCGUCGAAGACCUCGUCUCCAUCAUCACCACCAUCGUCUGGCUCGCAUCCGCACAACACGCCGCACUCAACUUCGGACAAUACCCUUACGGUGGUUACGUCCCGAACCGGCCACCGUUGAUGCGGCGGUUGAUUCCCGACGAGUCAGACCCCGAGUUCGCGAGUUUUAUGGAAGAUCCUCAAAAGUAUUUUUUCUCGUCGAUGCCGAGUUUGUUACAGACGACGAAGUUUAUGGCGGUGGUUGAUACAUUGUCUACGCAUUCGCCAGAUGAGGAGUAUAUCGGAGAGAGACAACAGCCGUCGAUAUGGACCGGAGAUGCUGAGAUCGUAGAUGCGUUUUAUGGAUUCUCGGCGGAGAUAGGACGAAUAGAGAAGGAGAUAGAUAAGAGAAAUAGUGAUCCUAGCCGUAGGAACCGGUGUGGAGCCGGAGUUUUGCCGUAUGAGUUGAUGGCUCCUAGUUCUGAACCUGGUGUUACGUGUAGAGGUGUCCCUAAUAGUGUUUCGAUAUAGAAAUACUAAAUUUUUAAGUCUAGCUUAUUAAGUAAAUAAAUAGAUUUUCGAAGCGAAUAAUCUGUAGGGUUUAUUUGUUAAUUAAUAGUUGUAAAUAUAUUUUCAAGAAUUUAAGAGAACUUUAUUAUAUUGAAAAAUUGUGUGUAGACGACAUAAAUAUAUAAAGUUUUAUUCAUAAAAUUCAACUCUAAUCACAUAUGUGACUAAAAUUGUGGCUAAGUUAAAAUUGCCACAAAAAAAAAACCAUUGUUAUGUUUUUUCUUACACGAAAUUUUUUAUAUGAUCUUAAGAGAUAUAUAUUGUACUCACUCAACAGUAAUUUUAUACUGUGUCCCGUAAACUAAUACCACAUGAUUUUGCCAUUUUGGUAAUCAAAACUUCAAAAUAAAUGAUAAUAUAACACAGACAGUAAUUUGGAUUUCCAAACCAAACCAAACCAAAAGUUGGUUCACCUAAGGUUUGACGUUAUUGAGGUUUCAUCGUUUAAUGUUGUUGGACCAAUUUUAUCAAUGGCGAGCAUUAUCAGAAAACCGUUAAACUUGACGGCGGCCGUCCGGUUUCGACUUCCUCCGUUGUUUCCGUUCUCCGGAAGCUCUGGUUCCGUUAACUCGGAUGCGACUCGUUGCUCUGAGAUGAUACCGGUGCCAAGUUUAGUAGAGGGAUGCGAUUACAAGCACUGGCUUGUACUCAUGAAGCCUCCCAAUGGAUACCCACCUCGUGAUCACAUCGUCCAAGGCUUUGUCAGAACCCUAGCCAUGGCUCUUGGGAGGUAACUAAUACAAAAAAGAAAUAUAGUUUUAGCGAUAAAUUGCAAUCAAAAAGCAUAAAAAUCGAAGCUUUUUGGUAUAUAUGAUUUUGAGGUUACUUUGUUUGUGUUGUGUGUGUAGCGAAGAAGAAGCGAAGAAAUCGAUAUAUUCUGUAUCCACAAAGUACUACUAUGCAUUUGGCUGCAGGGUUCAUGAACCUUUGACUAACAAGAUCAGAUGUAUUAUUACAAUUUUAAUCUCGUCUUCUUUCUUUGGACACUUUUUGUUCAUUUAUUCCUAGUUUUGUGGCAAAUGCUGUAACUUGUGCUUGUAUUUGAUUGCAGCUCUGCCUGAUGUCAGAUGGGUUCUACCAGAUUCUUUCAUAGUUGAUGGUGACAAUCGAUAUGGAGGUUUGCUUUGCUGCUUAAGUUUUGUUUCUUUUCGUUGGCUCUGUUGCUUGUAUGAAUCUACAGAUUCUGUGCUCAUUCUCAUAUAUCUCAAGAUUUUUAUUAACCUAUAUAUCUCAAGAUUUUUAAGAUUCUGUGCUCAUUCUCAUAUUGUUGGGUUUCUUUUGUGAACAAAAGGAUGUUUAGCCUUUAAAUUUAGUACCUGCAGCACUAUUUUUUUCCUUCCCUUGGACAUGUUUCGUUUUCUGCAGGAGAGCCAUUUGUCGAUGGAGAGGUUGUUCCAUACGAUGAGAAGUAUCAUGCGGACUGGCUACGAGAUCAAACUGACGAGGAUGCUAAGAAUCGAGUAGUAAAAAUAAAGCCUAGGAGGAAAAGAAAGAAAAAGGCGAUCUAGUUGAAGAUAUUUGGUAUUUGGAAGUCUUCUUGCUUCAGUGUGGCACUCAAGACUGAAGAUUUUCUGGAAUGACUUCUAGUGUUUACUUAAUAUGAGCUGUUGUAAAGAAUCCAAGGUGUAAUGGUAGUGAUAAAAGGUUAUUCAAUAUAUCAAUCAAUCCAAGAUAUUGAGUAGAUUCCACUUCAUUGUCUAGCUACUGAACUUAGAAGCUAACAGGAAUGUGUCUUCUAGUGACUGUAGAGAUUUUAUUGCAUAUAUAGAAUCAUAUGUUUCAGUGAAUCAUAGAACUUGAAAUUACGUGAUGAUGUAAGCCAGUGCCAGUAGUUGAUCUGUAAUUUUUUACUGAGAUAUCAUGGAAAUUGGAUAAUCUAGUUUCGUUUAGCUCUUUUGCAGAAUCACCACAGUUCUCUGUAUUGCUUCAGUUGUCAUUACUGUUAGGUAUUGAAGUCUCCAUAGAAAUAGACUGAUCCACCAAAUGGCUACUUCUUAUUGUUCGUUUGCCAAUCAGGACCAUAUAGAAAUUAGAGAAGACGAAAGCAACCACAGAAGAGUUUUCCUACACGUCUUUUUGAGUGGGGUUUGGUAAGAUGAGAAGUCUUUCUUCAUGACCAAGGUAUGUAACUUAAUCUUGUCUUCAUAUUAAACUAAUUUGUCUGAAUUUGGAGCAUGCUUGCGUAUGUACCCAGAUUCUAAAACAUUGACUAGGAACAACAAGCUUACCACUGAAAUUCUUAGUUGGUGAACUACAGUCAAUUUAGGAUUUGAUGUUGAGUCUUUGUGGUAGAAAAAAAACCAAGUAAUACUGUCCCUUUUGAACACGCAUACAAUUCAGACUUAUACAUCUGAGGUUACAAAAUUGAAAAAUGACUGCUAAAUAUCUAUUUAGCUCACUUUUUAAGCUAUGUUUCUAUCACAACAUUUGCAGAAUUUCAUGAAACCUUAUGGUAUUUUCAUUUAUCUAACACAACCUUUUUGGUAUUUUCCCUGUAUACUAACGUAUCCUAAUAUCUAUACCUGUAUAAAAAUUAAAUAAUUUUGUAUUUUGUUCACCAAUUUAGUUGGCCGGGGUAUACAAACUGGUUCCUAGACUCUUGUACAGAGCAGUGUCUGAAUAUACUGCACGAGACCUCAUUGCCUUGUGUUUACGUCUGUUCUUUCGACCUGCUUGACGUCGUGGACAGACUUUUAUCUCCUUCUCUGUUUCCUCUUUUACGACUUUGACAUCAUCUUUACAUUUGAUGUCAUGAACUUCGUUUGAACCUGCCACUGGAACUAUGUACACAAACGGUCCGUUUUGGAUGUCUUUGAGGUCUAAGAUAGGCUGUAGGGUCUUGACAGCAGUGGUCAUAGUGGGUCGUGACUUAGGAUUGUGGCUCAGGCAUUGGUAAGUUAAAACCGCUACCUUCCUGAUGCCUUCAACUGAGUAUUUCCCUUCGAGACUCGGGUCUAUGAUCCGUUCAAGCUUGUUGGGAUCCUUUAACAUGGGCCUUGCCCAUUCCACUAGGUUCCUCCCUCUCUUUGCCCGGUACUUCUCAACUGCGUUUCUAGCAGUUAGCAUCUCUAAAAGCACCACCCCGAAACUGAACACGUCGCUCAUUGUUGUCAAAUGACCUGAAAUGCAGCAUGAAACAUGUAAGCUAAGAAUGCAACGGCUAUGUGGUUUAUAACAAGUAUUCUUAUCCUUAUGUUGUUUAACCUGCUGAGAUGUAUUCCGGAGCUGCAUAGCCUUCUGUGCCCAUUACACUUUUGGUAAAGCUUGAGUCUCCUUCCUCUGAUCCAUCUGUGGCUAAGCCGAAAUCUGAAAGCUUAGAGCUGAAGUCCUGUAAGUUUCAGAUAUGAGAUUCAAGUUAUUUGACAUGAUAAUAGAUAGUUGGUAAUGCAAAAUAAGAAGAGAAGCAUUUGAAUUACCGAGCUCAAGAGGAUGUUGGAAGGCUUAAAAUCUCUGUAUAUGACAGGUUUCUCUUGUUUGUGAAGGAACUCAAGGCCUUUCGCAGCACCAAGUAGAAUCUUCACUCUUGUUAACCAAGGCAAGGCUCCACCAUACUCUGCAUUGCACCAAAUAGUACUGAUAUUGUUAGUAAUCUGUAUCUCUAUAUCAAUUAUUUUUCAAGUCUUUUUUUUUUUCGAUCUUUUAAGCGACUCACUUUGAAAUAAAUGUUCUUCCAGAUUGCCUCGUUCCAUGUAUUCGUAGACAAGAAGCCUGUGAUCAUCCUCACAGCAGUACCCGACCAAUCUCACCAGAUGGGGAUGCUUCAACUGACCAAGGAUUAUAACUUCAGCCUGCAGAAUCCCAAAGAAACGUUUUUUUUUCUUUAGUUUUGAUGAUCCCAUUCUGGUAUGAGAUGUAACAUAUAAUACUUGAAAUGUGAUUUAUGAAUAUGCAGAUGGAGAAAAAUCAUUACCAACCACUCUCUAUGUCCUUGUCCACCUUCUCGUUUCAAGGCCUUAACAGCAACAGGCUGAGCUUUCAAACCAGUCUUGAGGGUAUCAUCAACGAAACCUUUGUAGACUUCCCCGAAUCCUCCUUCACCGAGGUAAUUAUACUUUGAGAAGCCUUGUGUGAUCGUUUUGAGCUCUUCGUAGGAGAAGAUGUGAAUGUUUAUGAGGAAAGAGUUUGAGAAGUCGUUGAGUGAGAUGGUUGAAUUGCUGAAAUCCGACAUGUAGACUUUGCUUGGAACAGAGGUUUGUCUGGAGAGCAGAAGAAGUCUUUCCUUUGAUGGGUUUGUUGCAGUCUUCUGGUUUGUGUUACUGAUGCAGCUUAUGGGAAGACAUAUAUUCUUCCAAGAAAAUCUCAUUGGUUUCAUCUGCAACUGAAGGGAGCUCUCUGUGUUUUGUCUAUACUAUGUUUAAUGGCUUGUAUUAGUUUCUUGUUGCUGAAUGAAUAUAUAUAGAGAUUAUGAAGCUUCUUUGAAAAUUGUUAGAAAGUGAAGAGAGAGAGGUGAGAGAGAGGUGAAGACUCUUUAAAAAGUAAGUCUCUUAGUCUUAUAAAGCCAUCCAAGAGGGAUGGCAUUUGUUGCCACUAAGUAUAAUAUCAAAUGUUAAUAAUAUACAAAUGAGUAAGAUUUUUCUUAAACUAACUCUUUCGUUAUUUCUGCAAUUUCACACUUUAUGUUUUUAUUUGGACACAAAACUCUAUUUAUGAAGUUGCAUAAGAUAUUUUCCAAACUACCAAAAACAAAGUUUCUGUUUCUAAAAUCAUUCCAAUUUUUAGCUUACUUUUUUUUUCCUAUUUAAUUUCAACCUAAUGUUUUGGUUAGUUAUAUGCUAAUUUAGACUAAAUUUCUGAGAAUAAAUUAGCUAAGAGGUAACGCUGGCAAAACAAAAAUAGUUGAAGAGGUAUCUUUGGAUCUAAAAACUUUGACUAUCUCAAGCCAUCUCAUACUCUAAUUUUUUGCUAAUUGGACUACCUAUCAUACACUUGUAAGUUGUUAAUGAAUUGGUUAUAUUAAAUGUAUCAUAUAUUCAUUUUCAUCUAGAAGAAGAUGUUGCUUCUACUAAAUAUAUUAUGUUAGUUCUGUCAACAAUAAGAUUAAUCUAGUUGGAUUAACAAAAUAAUAAGAGGUUGGAUUAAUUUGUCUGUCAUUGUGAAAGUUUGGAAUGUAAUCCAAUACCUUUGGCCAUUACCAUUGACUUAAAACAAUUGUCUCCUUUGUUUUCUCCGUUAGGCUGAGUUGUUAAAGAGAAAAUAUACAAUCACUAUUGUCAAAUCUAUUUGAUUAGUAUAUAUAUAACAAUUGUGGUUAAUAUAUUCAGAAAAUGAUGAAAUUUAUAGUAAUCUUUUUAGAUACUGUCAUGUACCAUUUUUUUGUUUAACGAUUAAGAUCGAAUUUAUGCAAGUUUGCUUUUUAUAUAGAACUAAGAGAAUUCCACUAAAUUUUGCAUAACUAAUUAAUGAUUCCACAAAAUCUUACUCGUGUAUCGUGUGUCACACUUAAAAAUAAUAAUGUUGCAUGCGCAAGAAAAUUAUGUUGAUUUAUAUUUUAUUAUUCGUGGAUGAAAUUCAAAAUACUACGUGGUUAGCCGUAUGAGAUGGUGCACCAAUCUAUAUAUUUAUAUUUUUUUUUCAAAAAAAAAAAGAGUAGUUAUUAAUAAUAUACGAAGAGGAGGGAGAUUUGCUUUUUUUUCGUUAAGGUCAAUUUGUUCAUUAUCAUUUAAUUUACUUUUCAACAUUUUAAAGCUUUUUGAGGGCGACAUGGCAACAACUUUAUGCCAAAUAUUUUAACCCUCUAUUGAAUAAUUCGUUUCUUAAUAACAUACUUUUCGCUAACCUAGUCUCUCUUUUUUCUUUAAUCCUAUAAACUAUAGUAUCAUAUGAACAUAAAGAGUAGUUUCGUAGAGUUUUUUUUUUUUUUUUUUUUUUUUUUUUUUUUUUUUUUUUUUUUUUUUGAGGAAUCUGAUUUUAAGGAGACUUGAAAGAUAUAAUAUAAAAGUUACGUAGCCUAAUCUCAUUGUAUAUUAUGUAUGCUCUUUAACAAACAAAAAAAGUUGGCUCAAACAAAGUCGCCUGUGGUGGUUGAGUUGUUUGGGGUUUUAUGGAUACAACUCGUGAGAUUUGGA
This 60152-nucleotide long non-coding RNA is filed under the name Capsella rubella. RNAcentral describes it as "long non-coding RNA (CRUB_LNC004417)". The record is from RNAcentral. Lineage: Eukaryota; Viridiplantae; Streptophyta; Magnoliopsida; Brassicales; Brassicaceae.